AGUCAAAGAAUGUUAAGAAUUAGGGACCACAUCCAAAGGGGCCCUUGAAUAUUUCACAAAUUGUCUAUCGAAAAAGGUACUAAUUUGAGUAAUUUCACGAACCGAUAGACCGCAGAAGUUCACAUUCUUCUUGCAUUAAUCUUUCUGAAUAUUACAAUCAAGCUCAUAUAAACAAGGAGCAGUCAUUUAGCAAACUGUUAACAGAGUAACAUAUUCAAGAGUUGUACUCGAUAAAGUUUCGGCAAACCCAUGCCUGUGUGUCAUUAAUAGUGAGAGACUCGAAAACGUUUACAUAUCCUGCUAGCAAAUUCUUGUUUCCUAAAAACAAACUCGAAUAAGUUUCUGCAACAUGUCCUUUGCAUACUGUACAUGUUACAUAAAGCUUAUUGUUCAGAGUGAUCCGUUGAUCCCUUUUCAUCUUUUUACCUCAUUGGUAGUGUUGAAUGUAUAUUUUCAUCUUUACUUUUUCUACAUUUUGAUAAGUUCAGUGUAUAACAGCUAAAGGUGGUCGUUGUAAUUCCUAGGCCAUGUUAAACUAUUCAUUGUUUACAGCAUAGGCUACUUUUUUCAGUUUCAUAUUAACGUAUGACAACAGUGCGGACUCCUAUGUUGCUUAUGAAUGAAGAAAACUACAGACAAGCAGACCUAAAGAGAGAUCCGAAAGCAGAGAAACAUGAUAACUUAUUUGGGAUUUUUUUUUUUUUUUUUUUUUCGUCGUUAACCAUCUUGAUGGAAAAAACUUACAGAUCUCGGUGGAGACUUUGCCAUGAGGAUUUGUGGACCCUUUACAAAGAAGCUAUUGGAGUCGCUUUCUGUAGUGCUGGAGGUCAUAGAAGCGACAUCCUUUGACCUACCCGUCAACUUUAGCCUAGGAAAAUGAUCACCCCAGAUAUCAUAUGUAUAUUCAUCCCCAAGCCGAGCCUUUUCUUCUUCAGCACUUUUCCGAUCAGAGAGUUUGGACCCAGGGGCUCUAACAUGCGGAGAAAUAGGGGAUGUUGAAGCCAGAUAAGAGGAUGAGCAUACCAAAUUAGGUGCAGGCCUACUGGAACCAGGAAUGGUGGCAGAAGGCAAUAAAACAGUUCUGGCCGCAGGUUUUCUUGGUGCUGGUGGCUGCACUUGAGAAGCAAAAGUUGGGUGGUUAUUGCAAUAUUUUAUAGAAACCUCCGGCUGUGACAAGUUUGCCUUAGAAGCAGAUUUAAAAACAUGACUCUUCCGGAAGUGUUGUUGAGCCACUUGAGUAAAUGGAUUUCUGGCCUCAACAGCUUGGCCCACAUCAGGAGAUAGCGGCCACGUCUGUUUUGGUAUUACAGAUGAGACUGGAGACAAGGGUGAUGAAGGUGUAGAAUUUCCACUUUGACUACUUGAAACUUCAAAAAGUCCUGUGAAUUUUGCACCGGCACCCUUUCUCUUCUUACGCCUUCUACCCUUUUCCUGUCCAGUUUUGACUGUGAGGUUACCAGGUUGGGAUGCUUCUAGUUCAUUGGGAUUCUCAACUGACACAGAUUUAGAAGUCAAUGAGAAAGCCAUGGCUUUGUUCUUUGUCGUAUCUGACAAAUAAUUAGUUUGUUCAUGACCCUGUAGCAUUUGAUCUGCAUGUUGAACAAAUUUUUCCCGCUCUGAGGCCCCAGCCUGGUCAUCGGGAUAUCUACCAACAGAUGAUGCCUGCAUUGAGGUUUUAUCUUCCCGAACUGAUCUUAGCAAACUGUUUAUCUCACCAGACACAGAAAAUCUGCUGUCUCUAUAAUUAUGCGCAUGAGAUGAUUUUCCUGAACUACUUUUAGAAGUAACCAAGGAACUUUUUCCGCUCGUGUACAAACAAUCAUCGGAACAAAAGGCAGGCACCUGGGGUAAUAUAUACCAAAAUACUAGAAACAUCAAGGAGACAACCAGAAAUACUGCUGAAGAGUAUUUUUUGACGCGCAUCCAGACCACUGAUUUCUUGCAUAUAUUGAUCAUAUGCAAAGGAAUGCUUGCCUUCAUGGGGAUCACCAUAAUACCAGAAUUCACGGCCAGCUCAAGAUCCCGUUGUACCAAGGCUGCAGAAAAAUCAGUCAGGUACGAUAUCAGAAGUUUUGCUGAUUCUCCAGGUUCAAGAGUAAAACCUUUGCAAGUUUGUACCAUAAACCCAUCCAUCCCACACUCUUUUCCAGAAACUGUGAUUCUUCUAAUCUCCAGAGGAAAGUCUCCUGUAUUCUUAGCAUAGAGCUGCCUUGAUAAUGGCUGUAUACAAGAAUGAGUGACGUUUUCCAUGUGAAACAUGUCUGGAGGAGAAAAGUCAAGAGGAAUUUGUAAGCUGAGGUUGAAUUCUACACUCUGAACAGGCUCAGACUCUUCAAGAAGAAGCAAGGAUAGCAACCCUCCAGAUCCCCUCAGAGAUAACCACUCCACACCAGAUAGAUUGUUUCUUAUCAGGGCCGAACUUCUCCAAUCACAUCGAUUUGAAGGGUGAAACAAUACUGGUCCAAGAGAUGCUCUACCAUUGGGUUGAACAUAAGCCUCUGUUUGUGCAUUUUCUGCUAUUGAGAACCCAUACCUACUUGGAGAAGUGGAUUCAUUACAAACCAUGCUACCCGAUGAAGGAAGCUGUGUAAGACCAUCCGCACUCUUACAUCGGUCAAUAAUCUCCCCUGAGUUCAGUAUAAGCUGCAUCACUACCGGCGCUUGGCUAGGAUUCUUUACAGUGAUCCAUUUAGAGUUAUGACUUCCUACCUGAAGCAUUGGGAAGAAUACCUCAUGAUCAGUGAGCACAGACACGCCACUUCUGGUAUCUUGAGAUUUCCAUUUUCGUAGCACCAACUCAUCUGCCUCUGCUGUCUCCAUUGCCUUCAUGUAUAGGAUCACAUUAACAUUUUGGUUACUAUGGAUGUUCAUGUUUGUGGGUAAAAAAAAAAACACGUUAUAUAAUUGGUUAUGGAUAGUUCAUGUCUAAAAAAUCUCAAACAACACAAAAAAGAGUUAAUUGGUUAUGGAUAGUUCAUGGCUAAAUAACCUCGAACACCACAAAAAAGAGUUAAACUGAUUCAGAAAUAUACGGCACAAUAACAGCCAUAGUAACAAGUAUGCUCUACCUUUAGGCAAUAAAAUUGUAGAGACAGGCAUGCAAUCUUUUAUAACUCUUUUAAAGCUAUUUGAUCAAUGGAGUGGACACCUGCUGACUCCAGUGCCUUGAAGAUGAGGAACCUUGAAAGAAUGAUACUUUUUGCAAAUAACUAAGGAGCAUGCAUGUUUGAUACUAAUAAAUGAAAGGGAACGUUCUUGAUCACUUAGUCAAAAGACAAAGAGACACUUAGUCAAAAGACAAAGAGACAACAAACAAAGGCACGGCAAGCUGUACAGCAAUCAAACUUCGAAAGCUAAUCCAGUUUCACACAAAAAUGAGAAUACACACACACUCAAACAUACACAGAGAGAAGUAAAAUCUGCCUACCAUGAUCGGUAAUGGCAACUGCAUGCCACUUUCAGAGAACUCUGUCUGCAUAUCACCCGAUUCACUCCUUUCAGACUGAUGUUCAUAUUCAAUGGUGGAAUCAUUCCAAUGUCUUGUACAAAUAUGAAUAAAAUCCUGGCAAGGAAUUUCAAUCUGAGAGCUACUUGAGUCAUUUGUCUGUAUAAGUAACUUACAUUGUCCAUCUAAUUUGACAAGUGGCUCAGUACAAGCAACAACAGCAACAUAUGUGUCGCUGCCAGGGAAAAGUAGUAAGCCUUCAAUGUACUUAAUCUGCAAGGUUCUACCAUCCGCAACUUCAGUAAUCUCAAGAAGUCUCAAAAGGUAAGUAGCAGAAUUCUUCAGAGAUAUAGCAACAGCAGUUUCAUUGGCAGAAUAGGGGACCAAAACCUCAAGAGAUGCCGAGAUAGGUAUUUCAAGAUCAUCAUUCAUUGCUGUUCCAUCCACUUCAGCCUCAAAAGGAAGCAUAACAGUAUCAGACUUGUCCUCAGAAGGCCUUAGCAACUGCAUACAAAUUGCACCAUAAAUUCUUCCUUUCGAUUCAAUUGAGAAGUCUAUUUCUAUGAUAGUUUCACUGCUGUGUGGACCAAUCUCCCAGUUCAUAAGGGGCCUCAUGGCCAGAAGAGGCAAACCAACUUGUCCAGUACUCACAACCAGACGUUCUUUAACACUCAGCAACCCAAGUUCAUCGGAACCUUGAAGUUUCUCAGUACUACAUAUUGCCUCUGCAUGAUGGGAAGUAUGCUCCAGAGACACUGAUAUCCAUGCUGUAACUUCCUUCACGUUGAAAAUUUGAUCAAAGGAGUUAAACAACGACAAAUUCUUACUCCACCUUCCCCUGGAAGAAACAUCCAUGUCCAAUAAAGGAUGAAUCCCAUAAGGAGACUCUAUGGCAAAACCUUUCGCCUGAACCAAGAAACCACCUGAGCUUGUCUGCAAAAUUAGACGAGCAGAGGACAAGCCCAACCAUCUAGGUAAAAAUACAAAACAAAUUGAAGCUGUUUCACCAGGUCCUAACUUAGUCUCGCUAAAGUUGCAAGGAUAGAACUGCAUGUCAGUACUGAAUGGUUCAUAAACAUGUAAAAUGGUGUCAUUGCACGUAUUUUCCACAGUUAAGAAAGCUAACGAUGGAAAAUUCAUAUACUUUUGUCCCCAAUCCAAUACUGCAGGGCUAAUUUCUACAUAGGGUGAGGGGGAACCAGUGAAAGAACUAAAUUUGGUCAUCUCAGUGUUCUUGUUUGGCCUAAAAUUUGUGCUCUUCUGAUAAAGUAAAGGUCCGCUACAAGAAGAAAGAUCGUUUUGAUUAGAGCUAUCAGCUUGAAUGGAUGACAACUCAUUAGUAGCCUCUUUGGAGUUCAGAGAACAAGAAACAAUCCCUCCAUUAAAUAACUUAAACACGCCAUUGUCUGAUGACCAACUUUUGUUAUUUGCCAACUUGCUAUCUUCGGUUGAUCCUAUAGAUGAUAGAUGAUAUAUCAUUAGACUGAUCCCCUGAAACUCCAAAAUCAGCCACUUUGAGUUUAUGCUCUAAGAAACCAGGUAAUGUUGACGGAAAGCAGAAUAAACGGGAGCUAGUACAAAUCUUAUCAAGAUUGAAGUGGGUUCUUGGAACUCCACAGCCCAAACUGGUGUCACCGAGAAAAUUAUCCGCAAAAGCCACAUUCAAAUUAUCUCCAUAUGAUCCACAAGAAUCAUAUUCCGAUAAUAUCUCACCAUUCCCAGAGCAUUGUCUAUAUGUAGUGAGGUAAAAGAGGGUGCAUGCUAAAACCAUAAGUAAACGGAAUGCUUUGGUUGCAUGCGACAAUCCCCUGAACAUUGAACAGCACAGAUAACAUCACAAAAUUACAAUUUAACAUGUACGGAAAAUAUUUACAGAACUUGAUAACUUUGUAUGCAACGAGGCCUUUAACUGCUAAAAUUUUCCAUCACAAAUAAUAAAACAGAGAUAACCGAACCACUAAGACAAUUACAAAAUGCAGGUGGGCCAAGCAAAUCAUCAUUUACUUUACGUUUUUAACAUUUGAUUACCUACAUUUUCUCAGCAGCCAAACGGAGUCAAGGUUAUACAAACAUGUUUUCUGCGCAGCCAAACAGAGUCAAAAGUCAUACAACCCUGCUGGGGCCAAACUUCUUUCUGUGUUUUUAAAACAAAUUACAAACCAAGCGGAGAAAAAUAUGAGAACAAAAUAGAAAGUAGGUCCCGUAUUUAAUUUUAAGUUAAUAAAACCAAAAAUCCAUCCUUUUACAACAAGUUUGGAAAUUACUAACUUCACCAUCCUUUUAAAGCUUCAAAUAAUUAUUACCCAUUUAUGUACACAGAAGCAAAGGGGGCAGUCACUACAUUUUGCAGAAAACUUAAUGGCUCCAACAAGUUUGGAAAUUUCUAAACUUCACCAUUAAUAGCUAAAGCUUUCCAAAUUAACAACGAAACGCAGGCGAUAAUCGAAAUCCCGAAAACCCGCCAUCGCUCUAAUACCACUUAGAGAAAAAAUUUAAUCCGAUAAACUCAUCGAAACUACGACCCAGCUCAAAAUAUAAAAGAUUAAAAAUUAACAAAAAAUUAUUUAUCAGACUAUACGAAACCACGACUCAGACGGAACAGGAAAGAAGAAAAAAGCAAAACAAUCGGAACCAAACGACGUCGGAAAUGGAAACCAGAGAGUCAUUUAUCAGACUAUCGGAGUUCCAAAAACGCCAAAAAGGUGUAAAAUUUUCAACAAUCCAGAAUCCGAGAAGGAAAAGACAGGCGAUGACAAGAAAGUAAGGCAGAAAAUUCAAAACAUUAAAUAAAAAAUAGAUUUUUUUUUCUGAAAACACGCUUAUUGUAAACAUCGAAAGCGAAAAGAAAUGGUGGAAGAGUAUUUUUACCGGAGGUUGACGACGGCGAGCUGGCGGCCUUGAGCCGUGACUGUUAGGGUUUUGGACUCCAUGGGUGAGCAGGAGAGCGGAAGAUGAACAUGCAAAGGUUUGUCAGCAGAAUUUUUUAUUGGGGGUUUUGGUUGUUCAGAGGAGAGUAUGUGAACGGUUAGAGGAGGAGCAGCGGCACAAGAGCACCUGAUAUGACAUAUGAGCGAUGACUGGCCACAGAGUCCACUGAGGACCAACAAAACCACAGAUAUCAGGCGCUGGACGGGAUGGAUUUACCAAAGUGCCCACGUGGGUCCACUGUGAAGUUUUUCUUUGACUGAAAAUUACUCGGGAUGGAUUUACAGUUUGAUUAUUUUUUGUUGCAGGCAAAUUACAAUAUAACACGUGCAUGUACAAAUUAUUUAUAAAUUUCAGUAAGUGUGCACUCUUUAUAGGAUAUUACUAUCCACACACUCAUUUUGCUUUUCACAUAUUUUUUUUCAAUAUCUGGUCAUAGGAUAGGAUAAAUUGAAAAAAAACAAUAACUAAAAAGUAAUAAUAAUGUAAGAGGUAAAAAUAUGUAUGCUAAUAACACUUUUUCCUUUUUCAGCUUAUUACAAUCUCGGUCUUGUUUUAUUUUAGUAGUUAGAUUGAAUGGUCCUUUUUAACCAUUUCAUUUUUAGUUUUUGUUUUCAUUUUAUUUAAAACUUGUAAACUAAAAAUUUAUUGCAAGUGAUGAAUUGUCUUAGUAAAUACGAUUGUAGACAUCGAAAUUUCGGUGAAAUAAAUGUUGAUCAAUAAUUAAAAUUUCAACGUUCACUUGUCAUAUAAAUUUUACACAUAGCAGGUGACUCAACGAAAAAAUCGAGAAUCAUCAGAAAAGUCAUCAAACAUGACACGUGUCAACACUUGGCAGAAACGAUUUAUUUCAUCUAAAUAAUAUAUUCAAAAUUAGGCUUUGGAAAAUUCUAUAAAUAUAAGCCAUUUCAUUCAUUUUAGGGGGACCAAUUCAUAACCAAUUCACCUCACACCAAAACCUUGAAGCUUUGAAACUCCAAAGCUCCCAAGCAAAUCCCGAAGGAUCAAGAAAGCUUUCUUCAUUCUUCGUCAACCCAACCUUCAAGAUCAAGCCCCAACGAUCCUUUGAAGAACUUCCACCAAUUCAAGAUCAAGUCCUGACGGCCCUUGAAAAAAGCGUUCAUCGUUCAUCAUCCGUUCAUCCUAAGAUCAAGCCCCAACGGCCCUUUAGAUCAACAACAUCAACAAAUCCACACAUCCAACUGUUCUUCAAGAUAAAGCCCAAAACCCCUUGAAGAUCCGUUCAUCAACAGUUCUUCAAGAUCAAGCCCAAAAGCCCUUGAAGAUCCAUCAAUCAAUUGUUCAUCAAGAUCAAGCCUCAAAGGCCCCUUGAAGAUUCGUUCAUCAAUAGUUCUUCAAGAUCAAGCCCAAAAGUCCUUGAAGAUCCGUUCAUCCAUCAACCUUCAUGAUCAAGCCCAAAAAGCCCCCUUGAAGAAACUUUCAACCAUUCAUCCGAGAUCAAGCCUCGACGGCCCUUGGAUCAGCAUCACAAUCCACAAAUCAACACCUUACGGAGAUCGAAAGAUGAUCAAAUUUGAGAGAGAUUGUAAACCCUAAAUCAUUAAUACAAAAUAUUAUUUUGCACACGUGUUCUUGUCUCGUUUGUUUCAGGAAUUUCCGUGUUUACAAAUUUGGCAUGCCCGGUGGGAUAAUCUCUACCUCUCAUCUCCUCUCCGUUCAAGAAAUUCAAGCACACUUCCAAAAUCAAUGGCAUCAAACAAAUGACAAGUCGUUCUCACAAAGGGAAUAAGCCUGAGCACUUUCGCCAUGAACGGAGCAUCCAUUGGCACCACAACUACUCUUCAACAAACCACUUCAAAGUCGGUGCCGCUGAGGGAGCAAGUGGAGCAUCAAAGACGCAAGCCCGUCAUCAACCUAACCUCGUUGGAGGCAUCGAAGCAUGUCGUUGAGGCACAUCAGAUGACAUCCCAAAGCGGCCAACGGGGUCCUUCAUCAACACCCUGGAUGCCUGAAGAGUCGCGUAUGAUGGUUGCACAAGUCAUGACCAUCGACGUUACCUCCAUUGAAGAACAGCUAGCUCAAAUGAGUGAAGCAAUUGCAAAGCUCACAAAGACCGUGGAAGAGAAAGACUUGCAAAUUACGGCACUCGUCAAUAAGUUGGGGGCACGGCAUGAUGCAGGAUUCGGCUCUGACUCCAAGAAAGGUGGCGACGAAGAAGAAGAGCCUCCAGUAGAGAAGGUUGAAAAAAAGCCGGAACUAGAGCAGCGGCGCUCAUGGGAUCUCUCUGCAUCAAGCAGUUACAAGAGAUGAUCGUCAGCACCGUCAAGGCACAGUUUAAAAGGAGCUCAAAUACCUCCGGGUUGUACUCGAAACCUUAUUCAAAGAAGAUUGAUGCCCUGAAGAUGCCGAGAGGAUAUCAACCACCAAAGUUUAUGCAGUUUGAUAGAAAGGGAAACCCGAAGCAGCAUGUCGCCCAUUUCGUUGAAACUUGCAACAACGCAGGGACCGAAGGGGACUACCUCGCCAAGCAGUCUGUGCGCUCGCUGAAAGGAAACGCCUUCAACUGGUACACCGACCUCGAGCCCGAAUCCAUCAACAGCUGGGAGCAAUUGGAGCGAGAAUUCCUCAAUCGUUUCUACAGCAUCCGCCGCACUGUGAGCAUGCUAGAGCUGACGAGCACAAAGCAGUGGAGGGACGAGCUAGUCAUUGACUACAUCAACAGAUGGCGCACUAUAAGCCUUAACUGCAAAGACAGGCUCUCAGAGACAUCUUCAAUCGAGAUGUGCAUCCAAUGCAUGCAAUGGGGUUUUGAUAGGAUUAAAAUCACACCACAAAGUAGCACACAAAUGUCCUAUUGAUUUUCCUUAUUAACACUAAGAUUUGUCAAUUGUAGCAUAUGAAAAUAAGAGUCUUUCCCACAGAAGAUUGUUUUAUCUAACUACCUAAAAUGUCACAAAAACUGGGUUGUUGUCCCUACUGACCAGACACCGAAAAAUAAUUAUUAGACCGACUUAUACUUAUCUAAAGUCUACGAAAUUUUAUAUGCAGAUACUAGACACACAAAGCUACACUCACACAAAUUUUUGGGAUUUUUGGAGUUGAUUUUCUAUUUAAAUUAAAUCGAACAAAAACAGGAUAGAAACAAAUUUUAAGUAGUUCACAAAUUAAGAAAACGAGUUAGGGGUAUUGCUAUCCACCACCAAAUAAUCAUGCAAACAUGUUAUGUUUCAUUCAAAUUUCUUUUAUUUCCGGAUGAAGAUGCUCAAGUUGGCUCAAUGUUAGAACUCAACCUAUUACUCUUUCUUACGUAGUAUGUUAAGAGAAUGGCGUUUUCAACUUAACUUAGUCCCUAGCAUGCAAUCUAGAAUGGCGUGUUCAUAGAUUUAACAAGUAGAAAUCAUUACGAACGAAAAGAGUUUGAGUCAUCACAAGGCAUCGUAAGUACUGGCGUUGUCUUACUUAUCCUAGAAAUUGGUUCACAUAUUAAUCGCAAUUAACAAGUACUACUUUAGAACAUAUGCAGGUCCUCAUUCGACAAGGGCAGACACACACAUAUUCAUAGCAUUAGAAUCCUAGAUAUGCUUACUAUGUAUGCAUCCAUAGAAAACAAAUAAAGAAUUCAUCAAUGAGACAAGUAGUGAACCAAGUUUCAUCCAUUCAUAAAAGUAAUUCAACGAAAUGUCAUAACAAAAUUGCAAUCAUAUUCGGGGCUUCAAAACAGCCCCUAACUUCUAAAAAAUUAGUUACACAUAGUUCUCAAAAUAAACCAAAAGAAAGACAUGAGUUUGAGAAGAUAAAACCGAGAGAAGAGAAUGCCAAGAUUUCCUCCUUCCUUUCCUUCCUUUCUCAACGCAGCAGCCUUGCCUUUUUUCCUUCAUUUCCUUCCUUUUUUUCUAUUUUUUUUUCCUCUAAAGAACUCUCUUUUGCUGCUGCAACCUGCAGCCUAUGCCCAUGCUUGCUGCCCCAUUUCUGCUCCAUAACUCACCCCACUAACAGUCAUUUAGUGAUGACAAUAAGUGAGAGGAAAUGGUAAAACAAUUGUAACUUUUUGGGCAACCUUUAUGCCAAUUACUCCCACUUAAUCCUCAUCUUUAAUUCCAUUUCAUCUGAUAUUUGAAGAGGUGUCAGCUGACUUGUUCUUGGCUUCAUCAGUUUUGGCUGCUAGUUUUAUUGGAUUUAUUGCCUUCAAUGCAGUUACAAACUGCUCAGCGUCUUGGAAACCUUUCAGUGUUAAAACAGCCAUAACUUCUUCUAGAAAAAAGAUAUUAACAAUCCGCGAAAUGCUCCAGAAAAUAGACAUCCGUAGCUUUCCAAGCAUAUAAGGCUCAUUCUCUAAUUCAUUCUGAACUGUUCGCAACUUGCUUCCAAAGUCAGCUGACCUGCACAGGCAGUUUUGACGAAUUUGUUACUUAAAAUCCCACUUGUGCUAUUUUUCUUUUAUUUGCUUGACAAAUUCUACAAAACACAAAAACAAAGUAAAUAGCUCAAAAAUAUAAGGACUAACUAAGAAAAGACAAGUGAAUUUGAUGUAAAAUAUAGAUAAAUAUGAGCUUAUCAGGUUUGCAAUACAUCCUUCAAGUCAUCAAACCACGGACCUUCGAAGAGCUAGCCACCCGCGCCCAUGACAUGGAGUUGAGCAUCGCCCAUCAUGGGAAGAAGGAACCGAUCUCUGACUACAAGACUGACAAAGUUGUUGGGCCAAAGGUGGAGAAGACUGCGUGGAAAGAUACCAAGGAAACAAUGACACUCAACACAACUCUCGUCAAAGUCUCUACACGAGGCAAGGCGAUUCAAACCGAAGCUUUUCAUGAUUAAGAGAGGCGUAGAUGCACUUUGAAGGAGCUUGAGGAGAAGACUUAUCCAUUCCCCGAUUCUAAUGUGGUUGCCACGCUGGACGACCUGUUGGACAAAAAUGUGAUCGACCUGCCUGAGUGCAAACAGCCGGAAGAGAUGAAUCGUACCGACAGUCCAAGAUACUGUAAAUUCCACCGCUUCAUCAGCCAUCUGACAAAAAAGUGCUUCGUGCUGAAAGAUCUCAUCAUGAAGCUGGCUUAGAAAGGAAUCAUCGAGCUAGAUCUUGACGAUAUAGUGAAGUCAAACUAUACCACCAUCACUUCUGGCUCUUCCGACUCGAAGUUUUCACCUCAACUGCUGGGGGCAUGGUCCGAGUCAAGCGAAGUUGAAGGAUGGAUUCAUGUCACUCCGAAGAAAUUACACAUGAAGCCUACAUCUCCUCCACAAGUUCGCCAACCGAAAAGGGGGCAAAGCAGCUUUUGUCAACCUCAAAAGCAACGGGAAAUUGUUAAAAAUGAUGAAAUUUCAACACAAAGAUCGUCUGUCCCCAUCAUGAUGCGCGAUUUCUUCCUCGAAGACUUCUUCAAACACUCAAUCAAGACACCUUGCUAUGAAGAUUGCAAGGAAUGCCUCUCCAAGAUCGUUUGACAAAUUCACAAUGCUCCUUGUUCGCACGAGCCUAAACUGCACGAACCAAAGCUCCUUGUCUGCACGAGCCUAAACUAUAGGACACGAGGCUCCUUGCCUGCAUGAGCCUAAAUUACAUGGCACUAAGCUCCUGGUCUGCACGAGCAUAAAAGGCAACACCAACGCUCCUUGCCUGUACGAGUUGAAACUGCAAACGGUACCAAGAUACUCCUGGCCCGCAAGAGCAUAAACUGCGUACGGCACAAAAAAAAUGUAUUCGAACUACGUUAUGACUUGAUCUCUUCUUUGGAGGGGUACGUAGGCAGCUCAAACAUUCAAUUUCGAGUUCAGUCACAUCACAAUAAAAAAUAAAUUAAAAAAAAAAGGUUUUACUAAUGAAAGUCAAAUUUAUUACAAAUGCAAAAAUAUUACUUUGUAAUAAAAAAAAAGGAAUACAGUUUCUGCAAAAAGAAAAAAAAAGAAAAAAAAAACAUAAAAAAGGAAUUGGGCCGCCCCAGCCUUGUCUCUAUCAAAGGGAGUCACAGCCUAUGCCUUCCUUCAUUUCACAGGCUUAUAUGCCAAUAACCCAUCCAAAAUGAAGCCCAAUUGAAGCUUCCCAGAGGCUUCAACCCAAACACAAUUUAAACCCAAUAUCAGAAGAGAAUGAUAACGAAAACGAUGCCUUUGAAAUCCAAAGGUUCUUUGUCAAUACGAGUUCCAGGCUUCAAUCGCGUUUCCCUUCGGCUGACCAGAAUGUGAAGAAUAUGGACGUGAGUGCAAGUAGGACGAAUCUCUCACCUCGAAGAAGCUGUUACCGCUUCGGCAAAUGACCUUCGCUAGUCAACGCUCGGCUCGUCGGAUUGUGAAUGCGUUCUGCGGCGUCGACCAGGAGAUCUGGGCAGAAUGCAAGCCGGAGAGAUGGUUGGAUCAACUGCAGUUGUUGCUGUUCUAUGUGGUUGUCAGAUUAUCGCACCUAAUUGUGGUGACUCUAGGGCUCUUCUUUGAUGAUAAACUGAAACAAUUCCUUUAAUUAUCGAUCAGAAGCUGCACGAAGUUCUCCUCCAUGAUCUGCCAUCUGCUUAUCGUCCAGUGCUGCACCUCCGCUGCAACUCUUCCACUUCCUGCAACUCCUCCACUUCAAACUCAUCACUCUACCUAGUGAAGACGUUGCAGAUGUGGUAAACUUUGGCGAAAGAUUGCAGAGAAGUUGAAGAUGUUGACAACGUGGCACUCCUCAUCGCCCAAGCUGCCGUAGCACUCCUCAUUGCCCAAGUUGUCAUACCCCUGAGCUCUUCCCCUAAUGCUCCAAAGAUUUGCUCCAUCUUUUGAGCUCAGCCCUCCUCCUCAUACCCACCUGGACCUGCAAGCUGAGAACCAGCAACAGCAGUGACGGAUGCACACGCCGCAAUCACCAUUCUCUCUAUCUCUUCCGUGAUCGGACGGAAGCCGAUUACUUCGAGAUCCAAGCUUAAAGGAACUCGCGGGUGGUGAGUACACUAACACGGUCUAAACUUCAAGAUGGGCUUCAGAUCGAUCUGCUUCUCGCUACAAUGACUUAGAGGAUACCCUUGCUAAGGUAAAUCUCUGGCUCAAUGCAUCCAAUGAUUCAGGUAUUCCCGUUGUAUUCAUGAAUAUCCAGAAUUGAGUCCUUGUUCACCAACAUUUCUGGGGAGACAGCAACUUCGAUUUAGGAUUGGGGACGUCAUCCAGACCUGGAUCAGACUUUGAAUUAAGACUGCUUCGCAGUCUGCUCCAUUUGCAGGAAACAGGCUUUGUGGUAUUCUUCUUCUUCUGGUGUGCAGCUUGAACAGUUGUGGUAGCCAUGAACUGAUGACGAUACUUGUGCCUAGCAACAUCUGAGAAAUUCUAGAGAAGUUGUACCACUUGACAAGAUCGAAGACUCAGUAAGGAAUAGUUGAAGAAGCACAUCAAGUUCUUCAUCAACCACCGAAAUUUCGAGCUCAAUUCCUCCAUCACUGUCAAUGACCCGUCAAUCACCACCAUGGAAGUGAAGGACCCCAUGAAUACUUCAGCACCCAACUUUAUGCUCUGCAAGGCAAAAAAAAAAUGCAGUGGAUGUGCAAUGGUGGCGGUGCAAUGGUUGUGUAGUGGCAGUGGCAAACAGUAACGGUGAAGAACUUCAAUGAUCGCUGUCAAACGACUAGCCGGUCAUGAAGCCUCGACUGUAGAUCUCCGUCCGUGGCAAACAGCAAUGGCGAAGAACUUCAAUAACCGCCGUCAAACGACUAGCAGAUCAUGAAGCCUCGAUUGCAGCUCUCUGUCCGUCUUCGUCCUUCCCUGCAAAUUCCUCACCCAUUAUCAAAAUUUAUACCAAAAAAUAUAUAUAAUAAAAAAAGGAUGGUGGAGCAAAGUGGUGCAUGGGCACCAUGUGCAGAAAAAAAAUUAUAAAGAAAGGUAGUGGCACCGAAAGCAAAUAAGAAAGUAUAAAUUUUUGAUGUGGUAUGUGUGUGCAAGUUGUCAAAGAUUUGCCUUUGGCUGAAGGCAACACACGACAAUAAUGGAAAUAGGGAUGUCUUACACAAAAGCAGAAGAUGGUUGGAAUAAAAAAAUAAAAAAAUAAAGAAUUAUCUUUUGGUGAAGGGAAGAGACAGGAGAAAGAAAGAAAAAAAAACAAAAAACAAAAAACAAAAAGAAAAAAAAAUGCAUUGAGAGAAAUAAAGUCCAUUUAUUUAUUUCUUUGGAAAGAUUACAUAAAAUUGCAUUCUACAUGCAAACAAAAAAAAUUUACAAAUGUGCAAACAGCAAAUAUAAGGGAGCCUUCAUUGAUCAGAUGGCACCUUAUCACUCGGCGGAACUCCAGGAAGAAGAGGUGUUAGAGGUUGAUUGUUUGGAGCCUCAACACUUGGUAGAGCUCCGGAGGACGAAGGUAGUAGAUGCCUUUGGAGUAAAACCACAAACAUCCGAUGGUCACUCUGAAUCCGACCUUCAGAUUCCUGCAGCUGGUCGAGCUUUCUUUUCAUGCUCGUUGAGUAACUAUUGGCAAGCAUGUGCAACUCUCUGUUUUCAUGCUUAAGCCCUCUAAUCUCUUGCUUAAGACUCGCCACCUUAGCCAUCAGUGACUCGACUUGACGAGUUCGAGCAAGAAGGCGUUGGCCCAUAUUUGAUACAGAGCUCGCACACUGAACACUGAAAGCCAGAAAGUCCUGAACAACCAGCUUAUCAGACCGCUUAGAAAGGAUCCUAUUAUCUUUAUGGGUGAGAAGAUUUCUAGCUACCACCGUAGUGGUUAUGUCAUUCUUCAUCAUAGAGUCCCUAACUGUAAGAGGACCGGUGGCGGAUAAGAAGGACGGGCGCCAUAUGUUGUCUGGAGAAGACAUAUCAACAUCUUCCCCAACAUUCAAAUCAAGACAACGAUCAAAUGGGCAAGCCAUUUGCAAAAAUGAUGAAAGAAGAAGAGGUAGUGUAAGUCGAAUUCUUAGAAAAUACAAAAUGAGGGAAAUUCCUAACAGGUAGCAACUCUCUAAAUGUGUUUUUGAACACCAUUCAUGCCUCUAUAAAAAGAAGAGGCAACAGGGCCUGUUCAGAAAUCAAAUAGGCAACAGGCCACUGGUUUAAAGAUCGAAAAGGCACCACUCUCCGAAUUUCAAAAAGACCGACUUUUCAGGAUUUGUCGUCAUCUUUCACAUGCAACCUCAACUUUGCGGAAAUCACGCGCAACUUUGUCAAAGAUUUCUGACAAAGUUGAAAAUGCUUGAAUCUUACUGUUUCAAUUACCCAACGGUUGCCGACAAGAGUAAAGGAAUAGUGCCACUACUGGCUAUUGGGAAAUUCCUAUAUAUGACGACCUUCAUCCUCCAUAGCAGGGCAAACCUGCAAAAAAAUGCCCAACCCUUCCUCACUUCCGAGAGUGCACUCCCAGCAGAGCCUCUCGAAAUACUCAAGUUUCUUCCUCUUCGGAAAUACCCUUGCAAACAAAUGACACCAAAGCAAAAGUAUCUCAUAUCACCAGGGUAGAAAGCAAGAGUAUCUCAUAUCAUGCUUUCUCCCUGUCCUUUUUUUUGUCCUUGUUCUUACCUGCAAAGACAAGGAUAAAGAAAACAAUAUGUCGAAACCUCCACUCAAACUCCGGGUAAGGAACCGACUACGUGGAACCUUUGCCUGGUUGCUUACCUGGCAUUGCUCUCGAGUACUCGUCUUCAGCUGCUGAUGUACUUCCGAAGAAGAUGCCACAUUUGCCUGGAGAACAGAUAAGGCAAGUGAAAAUGAUACCUUGAAGCAUGUGGAGACAACGUACUGAUUUCCUUCAAGAACAAGUCUCCCUUUCCCUGCACAAUCAACCAACCCAGCAGAAGGAGUCUGAGUUGAAUCCAAGAGCUCGAGAAGCUUCAAGAACAUAUUGACGGCACCAUCACCGAAGAGCAAAGCCUCGAUAUGCAACGCUGUCAAAAUUGCCACCACUUCUUCGAAAGCAAGAGUAUUUCAUAUCAUGCUUUCUCUAUGUCCUUGUCUUUGUCCUUGUUCUUACCUGCAAGACAAGAAGAAUGAGAGCCAUCAGUCAGAACUUGAAAGUUAAACUCCUAGUCAGGAACCGACUACCUGGAACUCUUCCCUGAUUGCUUACCUAGCACUACUCUCGAAGUACCUAUUAUCUUAACAUCUUAUACUUCUAAAGAAGAUACCACAUCUGCCCGAAGAACAAAUAAGGCAAGGAAAAAUGAUACAUUGAAGCAUGUGGAGACAAGCACAACAAAGCACAUGCCGAUUCAUCCGCUACUACUUCAAAAUCAAAAGUAUCUCAUAUCAUCAGGGUUGCAAUCACUCUGGGUAGUGGACUCGUUUUGACCCUCAAAUUCUUGGGUCGACUUGCUAGGCGUUAUAGGCUGCACGUGCCGAUUCACCACCCUUGAAUCAAAUCCUUAAAGAUCAAGUCACUAACUAGAAGAAGAGCUCAUCAAUCUUGAAGAUCAUAUUAUUGACCAAACUGCUCAGGUGUGAAUUAGAAAGAUUGAACAAAGCAAUAAGUCGUCACCUUCACCUCGUGCCUGCUUACCAUGUGUUCGAGUCAACCUUCAAGAAUCAAGCCUCAACAGCCCUUGAAAAAGCUUCCAGCCAAAUUCAAGAUCAAGCCUCGAUGGCCCUUGAGGAAAUCACAAGUCCGAUUCAAGAUCAAGUGUCUACCACCCUUGAAUCAAAUCCAGUUCAAGAAUAAGUUGUCGAAAGUCAACAAUCGGAGGAAGCCAAAAGGUCCUCCAACCCAGUUCAAGAAUAAGCUGUGGAAAGUCAACAAUUGGAGGAAACCAGAAAAUCCUCCAACCUAGUUCAAGAAUAAGUCUGUGGAAAGUCAACAAUUGGAGGAAUCCAGAAAAUCCUCCAACCUAGUUCAAGAAUAAGUCUGUGGAAAGUCAACAAUUGGAGGAAUCCAGAAAAUCCUCCAACCCAGUUCAAGAUCAAAGUUGUGGAAAGUCAACAAGCGCAACAAAAUACGUGUCGAUUCAUCCACUACCAAAGCCAAGGAUCAUCUACCACAUGAAGCUCCUUGUGGUCCAAUUUCAACCUUCAAAAUCAAGCCUCGACAGCCCUUGAAGAAAUUUCAACAAAAUUCAAGAAUAAGCAUCAACGGCCCUUGAAGAAAUCUCCAGCCUAAUUCAAGAUCAAGCCUCAACGGCCCUUGAAGAAAUCUUCAGCCCAAUUCAAGAUCAACCCUCAACGGCCCUUGGAUCGACAUCUUCAUUAAGGGACUUCAAAACGCAUCUUCUACACGUGACAAGCACAUGUAUACGGCGCGCCUUGAAGUGGGGGCAUUUGUAGACAUCGAAAUUUCGGUGAAAUAAAUGUUGAUCAAUAAUUAAAAUUUCAACGUUCACGUGUCACAUAAAUUUUACACAUAGCAGGUGACUCAACGAAAAAAUCGAGAAUCAUAAAAAAAGUCAUCAAACAUGACACGUGUCAACACCUGGCAGAAACGAUUUAUUUCAUCUGAAUAAUAUAUUCAAAAUUAGGCUUUGGAAAAUUCUAUAAAUAGAAGUCAUUUCAUUCAUUUUAGGGGGACUAAUUCAUAACCAAUUCACCUCACACCAAAACCUUGAAGCUUUGAAACUCCAAAGCUCCCAAGCAAAUCCCGAAGGAUCAAAAAAGCUCUAUUCGUUCUUCAUCAACCCAACCUUCAAGAUCAAGCCCCAACGGCCCUUUGAAGAACUUCCACCAAUUCAAGAUUAAGCCUCGACGGCCCUUGAAGAAAGCGUUCAUCGUUCAUCAUCUGUUCAUCCUAAGAUCAAGCCCCAACGACCAUUUGGAUCAACAACAUCAACAAAUCCACACAUCCAACCGUUCUUCAAGAUAAAGCCCAAAGCCCCUUGAAGAUCCGUUCAUCAACAGUUCUUCAAGAUCAAGCCUAAAAGCCCUUGAAAAUCUAUCCAUCAACUGUUCAUCAAGAUCAAGCCUCAAAGGCCCCUUGAAGAUCCGUUCAUCAACAGUUCUUCAAGAUCAAACCCAAAAGCCCUUGAAGAUCCAUUCAUCCAUCAACCUUCAAGAUUAAGCCCAAAAGGCCCCCUUAAAGAAACUUCCAACCAUUCAUCCGAGAUCAAGCCUCGACGGCCCUUGGAUCAGCAUCACAAUCCACAUAUCAACACCUUACAGAGAUCGAAUCAGAUGAUCAAAUUUGAGAGAGAUUGUAACCCCUAAAUCAUUAAUACAAAAUAUUAUUUUGUACACGUGUUCUUAUCUCGUUUGUUUCAGGAAUUUCUGUGUUUACAACGGUUUUCUUCUUUUCCUCUAUUUUGAGUUCAAACUCUCUUUGGUUUCUACAAUUAUAAGAAAUUACUGUAAAUUAUUCAAAGUUGGUAAAAAAAAAAAAGUAAUUAUGUUCGGUUUUCAAAGCUAAGACGACUUUCAAAAUAGUUAUCAAAUCAAUUUUUAAUUUUGUUUUAAAAGAAAUGAAAACGGAAAUUGAAAUAACUAUUAAUUGAGUCGUAAAGUAGACGCUAAGAGGGUAUUAAUGGAAAAUCAAUAUAUGAGUUGAAUGGAAGUUGGAACUGUAGUGGUGAUGAACUUCAAAAUGGGGGUUGUUGGUGCUUCCCAAGUCUUUAUUUUAGGUGGUGAAAUGACGUUUGCACCCUUGACAUAGUUUACGCUGUCCUGGGAAAUAUCUUCCAGCUAGAAUCUGAGGGCGCGAAAAGGCAGCAGCUUGGCGCGUUGUGGUCCAAGCCUUACUGCAUCGCCGGCUCGCCCUUUUAGGACUUGGAGGCUGCACGCACUCGACCUUGUCCUCGUGUGUGGCACCAUUUGUACUUUUUCUCUUACUAUAUAACCCUGAAAAAAUGGUAAUUUUAGUAAUUAUAAUGAAAGGAUUGUAUUAGGGUGUGAAUUGUAAUUUUUGCUUAUAUGUUAACUAUUUGGUUAUAACAUAUGUUGUGUUGUUAGACUGUUAGUUUCACGGUUAUAUAAAUUUGUAUGUUUUAUUUAAAUUGACAAUUGUAUAAUAUUUGCCUUGUAGAGAGAAAUUUAUUUGAUAAUCAUGUAAAUUGUGCAUAACACCUUCGAUAUUUUGUAGGCUUAUAGAGAUAGGUUCAAAACUUACGAAUAAAAUGGCAAUUACCCUAACUUGCUUGAUUUUAACUUAUUUAUAUGGCCUUGCCCUAUUCUAUGGCACUUUGAUUAUCUUAGUACACAAGAUGCAUCUAGUUUUAGUUUUCACAAUAUUGGAUAUCAAAUUUCAUGUUUUUACGUUAUAGUCGACACGACAUGAGCAUUACGUGUCUAGAUUUAGAUUUCCACCACUGCAUGUGUAUUACGUGUCUAGAUUUAGAUUUUCACUGAUGCAUGUGCAUAACUUGUUUAGAUUUUCACUAUUGCAUGUGUAUAACGUGUCAAGGUGUACCUAGCAUUAAAUUGUUGUUACGUGAAAAGAAAUUGCAUUCAACGACUAUAUAUAACAAUUAUUCAAAUCGUUUAAUCUCAUGUACUAAUCACGUGAUCCGUGGUAAAAAUGAGAGUUAUAUGUAAGUACUAUAUAAACACUUCGUUUUUUACUUAUAUGUGAAGAAAAAUGUCACUGAAUUUGAAUCUCAUAGACGAAUAAUUCGAUAUAAUAGCUUAAAAAAAAAUCUCGUGUUUUCUCAAAUUUAUCUUUUUUGUUCAUCAAAUUUUUACUUUACAAUUUAAAGGAUAAUGCUCGCAUUCUUAAUUGGAGAAUGAUCUAAUUUCCCCUUGCAAAUAACCUAUCUUCAUCGUUAAAAUUUUAAAAUCGGAACUUUUAAAUCUUUUAGUCUUCAUUUAAAGAUCAUUUAUACAAAAAAAUCAUUCGAAUCGAAAAUUGUUUAGUCUUCCAAAUGUAACAAACAAACCAAAGGUUCAUCAUGAAUAUACUAUUUGGUACCAUACCGUUGAUUCAUUUUGAUACAUUGGAUGACUAAACGGUCGUCAAUUUUGAAUAAUUUCUUGUAGAGAUGAUCUUCAAAUGAAAAUUAAGAAAUUGAGCGGUUCCGAAUAUGAAAUUUUUAUGAUGAAGAUCUUAGUAGGUUCCAAAUUAACUACAUUAGCUUUUAAGGGAAUUUGUUAUUUACUAGUUAUCUAUCUUUGAUCCUUUUUUUUUUUAAGGCAAGUGCUAACUAAUAAUGUAUUUUUCUAUAUACGACUAAACCACAUCGAACACAUGAAAAAUAAAAAAGAAUCAAAUUUUCCACUAAUAUUUGCUUUAAAAUCUUAUUUGUUUUUUGUCUUAUUUUUUUAUGAGCUUUCCCAAGCUUUCCCGAUUCGUGUGCCCCACUCUCUAAGACCAUUGACUUCAUGUGCGUGUGGGCGAGUAUAAACUUCCAAAUAGUGAUGGUAUCAAGGCGCGAGUGACAGUCGUGUCUACCUAUACUACUCGUGAGGAUGCCGUCUAGCACAAAAGACUAAAGCAACACGCGAUUUUGAAUAAUUUUUUGUAGAGAUGAUCUUUAAAUAAAAUUAGGGCAAAAGACUGUUUACUACCCUCAUGUUUCGUAGUUUUCAACAUUUAGUACAUCAAUUUUUUUUCGUCCCAAAGUCAUACCUAAAGUGUAAAUUUUGGGACAGUCUCAUACAUCUGUUAGUCAAACUGUUAAAUCUGUCGUUAACUGAUGACGUGGUGCUUAUGUGGACAAUGACUGGGCGCCACGUGUCAUUAAGGGGUCCACGUGGAUUUUUUUUUCUUUUUUCAGAAGGGGUUAAAAAAAAAAAAAAAAAAAACUGUCUUCUCCCUCGCUCAUCCCCACACCCUCUCCCUCCCUUUUCUCUUCUGCAACCUGCAAUCUGGGUUCAUGUCUCUGUUUCUUCUUUCCCACACAACACAGAAAAUCACGAUCCUUCCUCUUCCUCCGCCUCUCCCCCUCCCCUUCCUCCUUCGCCGGCGCCGCUCCCCUCCCAGCUUUCUUUUCUCUCUCCCAUCCAAUCCGGCGACCAACCCCUCUUUUCUGUUCUCCCUCUCUGCUAUCCCUUUUCACUUUUUCUUCUGCCUUUUUUGUUCCCUCUUUUCUUUUCUGCCUUCCGUACUCCAGAGCAGACACAGAGGAAUGUUCCAGAACGAGGUUAGUACCGUCAUUUUGCCAGCGAGCUCCGGCGACAAUGGUGGUGGUGGUGAAUCGGAUAGUGUGACAAUCCGAAGGCAUGACCCGAAAUGGAGAGGAGCACUUCGGUGAGGAAACCCCAUACAUCCACCAUAUAUCUGCUCACCUGGUUCGAGACUCCUCCCGCUUAUUCUCCUCUUCCCUCCUUCGCCUAUCGGCCUCACCAGGUGACAUUCCAAGUUCUCCCCAUCCCUCUCUUUAUCUCUCUUUCUCGUUUUGUUCCUUGAUUUGAUGAUUCAUUAUUUGUUUGGUGUUGUUUUGGGGAUUGAUCGUAGUCGUCAGAUGGGGAUCAGAAAGGUGGUGUUUGGAGGGCAGGUGACAGACGAGGAGGUCGGGAGCUUAAACAAACCAUCAGAUCUGCUUCUUCCUGCUUCUGCUUUUCCAAUUCUCCUUCGCAUAUUAUUUUCUGGGUUAUAAUCACUGAGUUAUAAAAUUUGCAAAUUUCACCCAAAAAAAUUGUAUUUUUUAAUCAUUGAGGUAUAAUUUUGAAUUUAUGUAUGGAUUUAUGAUGGGUUUUGUAAGUUUCGUAAAAUGUUAAAUUUGUUUUGUUUUGGGGAAAGUUUGAAUCAUGUUAUGUAGUGAAAAUAUACAGGAUGUGGUAAAAAUAUGUAAUGGAAUGUAAUAUGGAAGACCUCUAACAUUGUUUAAUUAUGAAAUUUCCAGCAAACCUUGUUCAGCGCAUAAGAUGAAGGAGAUCACUGGGAGCGGCAUUUUUGCACAGAAAGCAGAAAACGAUGGAGAGCGAGGGAGGCCGCACCGAGAAGAGGGAAAGGGAGAGGCGCUGGUGAAGGAGGGGGAGGGGGAAGGGGUGGGAGAGAGGUAGAGGAAGAGGAAGGAUCUUGAUUUUCUGUGUUGGGUGGGGAAGAAGAAACAGAGAGAUGAACCCAGAUUGCAGGUUGCAGAAGAGAGAAGGGAGGGAUAGGAUGCAGGGAUGAGGGAGGGAGAAGACAGUUUUUUUUUUUUUUUAACCCCUUCUGAAAAAAGAAAAAAAAAUCCACGUGGACCCCCUUAAUGACACGUGGCGUCCAGUCAUUGUCCACAUAAGCGCCACGUCAUAAGUUAACGGUAGAUUUAACAGUUUGACUAACGGAUGUAUGAGAAUGUCCCAAAAUUUACACUUUAGGUAUGACUCUGGGACGAAAAAAAAUUGAUGCACUAAAUGUUGAAAACCACGAAACAUGAGGAUAGUAAACAGUCUUUUACCCUAAAAAUUAAGAAAUUGAGCGGUUUCGGAGAUGAAAUUUUUAUAAUGAAGAUCUUAGUAGGUUCCAAAUUGACUACAUUAGAUUUUAAGGCAAUUUGUUAUUGACUAGUUAUCUAUCUUUGAUCCUUCUUUCUUUUUUUUUCUUUUUUUUUGAAGGCAAGUGCUAACUAAUAACGUAUUUUUCUAUACACGACUAAACCACAUCGUCUCGAACACAUGAAAAAUUAAAAGGAAUCCAAUUUUCCACGAAAAUUUGCUUUAAAAUCUUAUUGGUUUUUUCUUAUAUUUUUAUGAGCUUUCCCGAGCUUUCCCGAUUCGUGUGCCCCACUCUCUAAGACCAUUGACUUCAUGUGUGCGUGGGCAAGUAUAAACUUCCAAAUAGUGAUGGUAUCAAGGCACGACUGAUAGUCGCACCUACCCGUACUACUCGUGAGGACGCCGUCUAGCACAAAGGACAAAAGCAACACGCGACAGCUUGGCGGCGGUGUCACACUCACCUCAUAUUCCCCUUAAUUAUUGUCAAAUAUGCGUCGUCGCUUCAACAUUGACGUUCUGCAGCCAUUGGAUCCAUGUAUAAUGGGGCCCAAUGGGUUUUGUCAUGGCACGAGACAUACCAAGGGUCUUGAUGUGGGGAUAUAUUGACGGUACAUAAUGAGGCGCAAUAUUCGGAAUAUGGUAGGUGGGUUUAUGGCAAUUACCCUAACUUGCUUGAUUUUAACUUAUUUAUAUGGCCUUGCCCCAUUCUAUGGCACUUUGAUUAUCUUAGUACACAAGAUGCAUCUAGUUUUAGUUUUCACAAUAUUGCAUGUGCGUUACAUGUGUAGUAUUAGUAUAUCGAUUUGAGGAUUUUACAUUAUAGUCGACACCGCAUGAGCGUUACGUGUCUAUAUUUAGAUUUCCACCACUGCAUGUGUAUAUUUUCACUAAUGCAUGUGUAUAACGUGUCUAGAUUUAGAUUUUCACUAAUGCAUGUGCAUAACAUGUCUAAAUUUUCACUUUUGCAUGUGUAUAACGUGUCAAGGUGUACCUAGUAUUAAAUUGUUGUUACGUGAAAAGAAAUUGCAUUCAACGACUAUAUAUAACAAUUAUUCAAAGCGUUUAAUCUCACUGUACUAAUCACGUGAUCCUUGGUAAAAGGGAGAGUUAUAUGUAAGUACUAUAUAAACACUCUCGUUUUUUACUUAUAAGUGAAGAAAAAUGUUACUGAAUUUGAAUCUCGUGGAUGAAGAAUUCGGUAUAAUUGUUUAAAAAAAAGUCUCAUGUUUUCUCAAAUAUAUCUUCUUUUUUUACCAAAUUUUUACUUCACAAUUUAAAGGAUAUUGCUUGCAUUCUUACUUGGAGAAUGCUCUAAUUCCCCCUAGCAAAUAACUUAUCUUCAUCAUUAAAAUUUUAGAAAAACUAAUGGAAAGGGUUUGAAACUUUGAGUUUUAAUCAAAAGGAAAAAAUGUGUUGCAAGUGAAUAGUACCAAGAUUGACUUUUUAGAGUAAAAAUGUCAUUUUCAUUAAAAGUGAACAGUACCGGAGUGUUUCGUUAAAACUCCCUAAAUUUUAAAAUCGGAACUGUUAAAUCUUUUAAUCUUCAUUUAAAGAUCAUUUAUACAAAAAAAAAAUAUCAUUCAAAUCGAAGCUUGUUUAGUCAUCCAAAUGUAACAAACAAACCAAAGGUUCAUCAUGAAAAUACUAUUUUGUACCUAUACAGUUGAUUCAUUUAGAUAUAUUUGAAUGACUAAACGGUCAUCAAUUUUGAAUAAUAUUUGGUAAAGAUGAUCUUCAAAUGAAAAUUAAGAAAUUGAGUGGUUCUAAAUAUGAAAUUUUUAUGAAGGAGAUCUUAGUAAGUUCCAAAUCAACUACAUUAGCUUUUAAGGCAAUUUGUUAUUUACUAGUUAUCUAUCUUUGAUUUUUUGUUUUUGUUUUUUUUUGUUUUUUUUGAAGGCAAGAGCUAAAUAAUAACGUAUUUUUCUAUACACGACUAAACCAUCUUGUCUUGAACACAUGAAAAAUUAAAAAAAAUCCAAUUUCCCACUAAUAUUUGCUUUAAAAUCUUAUUGGUUUUUUCUUUUUUUUUUAUGAGCUUUCUCGACUCGUGUGCCCCACUCUCUAAGACCACUUACUUCUUGUGCACGUAGGCGAGUAUAAACUUCCAAAUAGUGAUGGUAUCAAGGCACAAGUGACAGUUGCGUCUACCCAUACUACUACUCGUGAGGACGCCGUCUAGCACAAAAGACCAAAGCAACACACGACAGCUUGGCGGUGGUGUCACACUCACCUAUAGUCCCCUUAAUUGUUGUCAAAUCUGCACCGUCAUUUCAACAUUGGCGUUCUGCCGCCGUGAGGGGCCCAAUGGGUUUUAUCAUGGCACAGACAUACCAAGGGUCUUGACGUGGGGAUAUAUUGACAGUACAGAAUGAGGCGCAAGAUUCGGAAUAUGGUAGGUGGCUUUAUGGCCAUGACUUGUUGUGUGGGACCAAUUGGUUGCAGCUGCCUUUUAAGAUGAUAGCUUGUUUGGAAUACGCUUUUAAAUGACUGAAUACGUUUUUAAAUGACUAAAUGUUUUUUAAGAUACAAACUUUUUGGAUUUAAUUUUUAGUAAAAAUGUAAAUGUAUUUUGAAAAAAAUAUUUGAAGUGUUUAUUCAUGCAAAAACUUUAAGUACCUUUAGAACCUAAAAAUGUUAUCUCUAAUAACGUUUUAAUCAUUUAAAAACAUUUCCUAAACGAGUCUGGUGUUGUUGAUGAAGGUGGUUUUGUUUUGCUUUGGUAUAGUCAUCACACACUUCAUUCGAUGCUUUAGAGAAGGACUUAUAAAACACUAGUAUAUGUGACAUUUCGUGCCAAUAAAAUAAAAACAUACGUAGUUAUGAUAGUUACGAUUAUUCUCUCUACCUUUGAAAUGCAUUUUCCACAACAUUUUAGAUUCGCAAGCUCAUCUCAGGCGGCCACGGGUCAUAACACACUUUUCGCAUACAAAUCCACUUUAAAGUUGACUUAUUCGCUCAGCCAAUCGUCGGAAUGUAUACAAGAUGCAAUAAGCUCAAUAUCUCUAUAGCACCUUUGUAUAAAGUAUCGAUUAAGACUUCAUAUUUGAAACGUAAGGACGAUCUGUCACUCGAUUCACUUUAAUCUGAUUGUCUUUCUUGAUUCCAAUUACAACGUAUAUAUUUUUGUUUAAAUAUUUUUAUUUCAUUGACACAAGACGCUUUGUGGUGGUGUCGUACCAUGUAAUUUGUUAUUCUACGAUUAACCAAUGUAAUUAUAGACAUUAAUUAAUUUACUCAAAAUGAAAAACCAAAUGAGUGCUUCAUUUGCUAAACAAAUUUAGUUUGUAAUCAAGUUGUAUGGAAGCUUUUUGGAGGCAAUGCAAUAGUCACCACUUAUGUCAAGUGUAUGUAAUUCAUGUAGUUUAAAACGUGUCAUUUAUUCAUUUCAAGAUAAGCUAAUAGUUUCUUUAUUUAUUAAUUUUUUGUCAAAAGAUGAAUUUACUAUGGUACUAUCGAAAUGUUUACAUCUCGUACAAGAAUAUUAAAUAAGAACUUAAGGCCUCUACAAUCCCGACUAUGAGUGCCACCAUUUUUGAUAAAAAAAAGAUGCAACUGCAUCUGCCGGCUUACCUUCACGAGGUUUGUAGGCUACCUUAGCAGAUUCCAAAGACAGAAGAAGGCGCCAAAUAUCAUGGAAGACACUAUGCAUGCAUACAGCGGCAUCCUCCACCUUGUUUAUCAUCUAACAUACAACCCUUGCAUCCGUCUCCACUAUUCACUCUUUCAAUACCCAUGUGAACGCAUCAGGAGGAUUCUUGCUAGAUCUUUUAAUCACGUCCGUUCAUCGUACAUCGUACGGUAAAAAAUUAUUGUAAAUUUUUUUAUUUAAAAUUGAAUAUAAACAGUGUCUAAUAAAAACUGGAUGCACAAUGUACGAUGAACGGAUGUGAUUAAAUGAUCCCUAGAUUCAGGAUCCUCGCUCGUGAACAGAAACUAGCAAGGCUUCUGUAAUCGCCAUUGCUUCACCUGUUGCUGUAUCCUGGAAGAAAAGGCCCCCAAUCCCGCCAGCAAACUGGAGAAUCCCAGCAAAGUCGCGAGCCACCCAACCAAUUCCUCCUUUCUUAGUCUUUGCAACGGGUAUCCUGGAAGAAAAGGCCCCCAAUCCCAACAGCAAACUGGAGAAUCCCAGCAAAGUCGUGAGCCAUCCAACCAAUUCCUCCUUUCUUAGUCUUUGCAACCCAGGCAGCGUCACAAUUAUCUUUAAAAAUCCAAACCUUGAUCUAUGCCAUUUAAUUGGAGGGGUUGCAUUUCUCGGUAAACAGACCGACUGGGUUGCUUUCUUUUCAGCAGGCUUUAACGAGUUGUUGAAUUCCCAUAUUCGUCGAAACUGAUGAACCAAUUUUAUAUUAUAUAUUUUAUCUUAUUCUUAGUAAGUUUUGGUAAUUAUUUUAGUAGAAUUUUGAAACUAUACUUAAUAUUUUCAAUAUAGAACAUUCAAUUUCCUUUUGAGUAAAAUGUGAUCAAACGGACGAAUUUUAGAGUGAUUCAAAUUGGAGGACGUUCGUGUUCGUGUGUCUCUUGGCAUGUUUAUGUCAAAAUUUGGGAUUUUUCUAUUAAACGGUUAUUUUAUGGCAAUGGAAUAAAGAAACAAUGCGCAAUGCUGAAAAGUGAUGUUUAUGGGCUUAAUUGCAAUUUAUGGAGCUCAAGAUGACAUUUGAUGGGUUCGUGGCCUAUUGCAGAAGUGUUCAGAAUAUUCAAAGCUUUAAAUCUAACUAUUUUGGGCUCGUUUUGGAAUAUAUAUGUAGGGCUAGUUCGGUAUGGGAUACCGAACCGAAAAUAGCAUGUCAAGUCCCAAAUCGACUAUUUUUGGGACGAAAAUCUGUCGACCGAUCCCAAACCAAAAUUUGGAUAUUCCCGAAGUUAGGGAUUCCCGAAAUAUUUUCGGUAUUUUGGGAUUUCCCAAAACCGAACUUGAACUCAUCCGAACCUGCAUUAAAACCCCAAUUUAAAAUCAGAGACUAUGAAUGAAUCGUUGAAGAUUGAAGGUCGAAAGAGAGAGAGAGAGAGAGAGAGAGAGAGAGUGAAGAGAUAGUCAGACCUUCGUCUUCCUCCUGAUCCGAGCUCCCAAUUCGAAACCCUAAGCCCCAAUUUGAAACCCUAACCUUAAUUUGAAACCCCACACAUAAAGAAUUGCUGGAGAGAGUAGGAGGUGGGGAUGAAGCAAUGAGGUGUGGUGGUGGCCGGAGUGGAGAGAGUUGAUCGGAGUCAGAUUGUGAGAGGAUAGAUUGGUGGGUAGCCUUUGAGCUUUGAAUUCGAGAUGAGAGACUAAAACUUUGGUGAAGGCAGAGAUGGGAAAGAGUGAGAUGGGAGAGACUUUGUCUAAAGAGUCUUGAGUCUUUGGACAGCACCCAUGUGCUUUUCUGCACACUUUACUUAUUUUAAUAUUAUAUAAUAGGCUAUUCUUGAUAUGUUUACAGUUUGCUUGAAAGAAAUUUAGACAGCUCUUGAUGUGCUUUUCUGCGCACUCUCCUUUUUUUAAUAUUAUAUAAUAGGCUAUUCUUGAUAUGUUUGCAGUUUGCAGUUUGUUCGAUAGAAAUUUAGACAGCUCUUGAUGUGCUUUUUUGUACACUUUGCUUAUUUUAAUAAUAUAUAAUAGAUAUUAAAGUUCGGUUCGGGACUUGGGUUUUCUGCACACAUCAUGUGCUUUCAUACACACUUUUCUGCACCAUUAUAGAUAUUUCUUAAAGUUCGGUUCGGGACUUGGAUACUGAAUGGUGUUAAGAUGUGAGACCGAAUCCCAUACCGAAUAAUUCAGGAUUGGUUCGGUUUUGGUAUUAAAAUUUUCGGGAUUUUUGGUUUGGGCUUUUUUCGAUUUGGUUUCGGUAUGGUUUGGGAUUUUCGGUAUUUUUUUUCCACCCUUACAUCUAUGGGUCCAAAACAUAGCUGUGCAGAUUUUAGGCAAAUUUUCCCUUUUAAUUUAGGGUUAUGUUUCCUAUUGUAUUUUAUUUUAUUUGGUUUCCUAGUUUGAUUGGAAGAUCUUUUAUUAGGAGGAUUUAGUUUAGUAGGUUAAAUAAGCUUGGCCGGCCCGAAUUAUAGUCUUCUUCUUCUCCAUGCGUUCUUUGAGGUCGGGAUCGGCCAAAAAAUGGCCUGCAACCCACGGUCAUUCGUCGGAAAAACUAAGAAAGUUUCCUCUUUUGAUGCUUCUAUGUCCAACCUCAACGAUUCAGAAUCUUAACAUUCUAAUAUGGUUUUUAAUUCACGAAGGAAGAACAACCGGGUGAACCAAGGCUUACCUUGGUCGGGAUUCAUUGAAACUCGCUGAAAAAACCAAAUAUAAAAUAAAGCUCAUUUUGAGCUCCAAGGCACAAUUCAGUUCGCAGAUGUGAGAUGAUGGUAGGCUAGUGGUGUGAUGGCCUGAGGUUCGCCUGCACAACAUGUUCUAUGUGGUGGUGUCUCGAUGAAGGAGAGGGUGCAAAGAGGGAGAGUUAAAGUGAGAAUGAGAACGGGAAAUUGAGGAGGUGAUCUUGGCUGUACAAAGAGGAAAAGAUAAGAGAUGGGGAGUGAGGGUACAAGGCACGAGAAUGACAAAAAAAUGGGAGAGGAAGAGAUUUCUAGAAAGAGAGAUGUCACGGGAGAGAAAGGAGAACACCCCAAAAAUGGGGCAAGAUUUUGCCACGUGUCAGCAAAGGAGAAGUUCCAGAUGUAGAAAUAUCUUCAAUGGUAAAAUUACCCAAAUGCCCUUAUUAUUCCGAUUUCCGUAAAUUCUUCGUCUUAGCUCCAAAUUCGAAUCCAUUUGCACCCAUGCGUUCGUAACGACAAGUACUAUCAAAAUAUGUAAAGAAAACAAAUCUUACAUGACACGACAAGGCGGUCAAUAAAAGUCAACGUUUUUACCUAAAAUGGUAUUUUCGUAAAUUCACACUUUAAAAUUUAUAAAACCAUAAAAUUUGGGUACGGGUCAUUACAUUUGUUUUAGGUAGUGGGGUGGGUCAGAUGAGUCGGAUCUAAGCUUAGAUCCAAAUUGGAACUUACUUUUUCUUUUUCUUAUCAAGUCGGGUCACCGGUUUCUGGAAAAUAUAGUCGAGAAACUUCCACGGCUCGAUCAACCACAAAACUUCACUAAACCUUGCCAUAAUUGAAGCUUAGAGAAUAAGGAAUCGAAAUAUACCAUUGGUUUACUCAACCGUGGCCGAAAAAUGGCUCGAAAUCGCCAUAUCUCCUGUCUGAAAACUGGGUUAAUUUCCAGGGUGUUUUUUGCACUAGAUUGACACCACAACAUGUAUGCAACUAAAAACUGAAAUCAAAACAUCGACUAGGAAGAGAUCGAAGGCAUUUUGAGUCUGACCUCGGUCGGGAAAUUUGAGAACUCAUCGGAGUUCUCCAUCUCCUGUUUCUCAGGUUUGAAUGCGAACUCGAGGGUUUAGUUCGAAUUUCUGAGCUCAAGGAGAGAGAUAGGAAGAGGUGCUAGUUUGGGUUAUAGUGGCAGUGCUUGCCGAAGUGGCGAGGCAGGGUGGUGGUGUCGGUGAAAGGGAGAGUGACAAAGCUGAGGGAAGUGAAAGUAGAGAGAGAAAGAGGAAGUUUGAGAAAGAGAUGAAAGCUGAGAGAGAGAGAGAGAGAAUCUCCAAAAUUGUGGGGAAGAAAACUCCAUGUGGAAGAGAGAGAUAUGAUGAGUAAGGUGGGGGCCCCACAUGCCAAAAUGUUUUUGUAAUAUAAUAAGAGUGUUGUUAAACCCACCCCAUUAUCCUAUUUUCCCACCCACCUUAUUAUCCCACCACCAUAAAAAUUUUAAAAAUUUAAAUCUUAUUUUCUCACCCGCUAUUAUUCCUAAAAUAACCUUUAUACCACCGCAUCUCCAAUGUUAUGUUUCCACCACCAGUCCCUUCCCCUGAACUAACUUUACACCAAAAUCAAGAUUGCAAAUCUCUAACAGUACAAACUGAACAAACCAAAAAAUUUAUCUGGUGAAAGUUUACAACCUUGAAAGCCACAAUCAUUGGUUUUGUUGGAGAGUUGCAGAGAGCAAGAGAUCUGCUUCCUCAAUUCAACUAAUUUCGUUCGAAACGAAAGAAUUAAAUUCAAAAAGUGAAAGUAAAAAAAUUCUAAAGCUGAGAUUUGAUUCAAAUGAGCUGAAAGCUAUCAAAUUAAAGAUGCAAUUCAAAAUUGCAUUAAAACAUUGAAAAGUUAAAAAUUUAUUGGAAAACACUACAAAUUGAUUAACAUAUUUGGAAUUGGAGCCCUAGAAAUCAUAAAAAUGAACAAUGAGAAAUGCUGCCUGCCGACAGAUUCUUGAACUUCUUCCGCCGUUGGAAAAAAUGGAUCUUUCUCUUGGAUGGAGAGAGAUGAAAUGGAAGAGAGAAGAACGGGGAAGAGAGACGGUGGUGGAGAGAAAUGGAUAGGGAUUUAAAAGUCUUUUUCUACAAGGAUAAACAUGUCAUUAACAUUUUCAUUAAACUGUGGGUGGAAAAAUAAGACAAUGGGGUGGGCUUAAUAACACUUUAUAAUAAUAAUAUAACAAAUAUAAAUAAAUAAAAAUUAAAUAUAUGAUGUUGAUGCAUAAAACCGGAAGUCUUGGAACAAUGUAAAUCCAACCGUGAAUCUGCAAGAAAUGUAAAGAACACAGGAUGUAUCGUGGUUCACCCUAAUGUUUGGACUACGUCCACACUGAUAUUGUAUUUAUCUAAGAGGAUUGUGAGGGAGAGAGAGCCUAUAUGUGAGAGUGAGGCUCUAGGAUCUCAAGCCUAAGGAUUGGCCUCUCUCAAUGAGGAGAGUGAGGAGUCAUUUUAUAGAAUAAAGGCUCCUCACUUAUUACAUAUUUGCCCCUUCAUUUAUUACAUAAUUACAUUUGAGUCCCCCGAGUAUUUAUACGAGAUCUAAAUACGGAGGUCCUAAGUAUGGUACAAACAGUAGUCCCUCAAGUCUUCAGUCAAGAGAGUCUUUUGGCUGGAGACUUGAAAUUCAGUUCAUGUGUGGGCCGAAAUAACUAGAUGUCGUCUAGGACUGAUACUCAAUAUGAGGCGGCACUCAAUUUGAAAUGAUGCUCAACUAGAAGUAGCAUAUGUUGCGAUGCUGCUCUGUUUGUGGCUUAUGUUGCCUUGGUUGGCUCGGCUUGUGGCGUUGAAGAUGAGGGAGUCCCUUUUAUAAAAUAAGGACUCGCUCCUCAAUACAUAAAUGAUGGGCUAGAGUUAAUGUUCGCGGCGAAGCGGUUGCUCAGUAGGCGGCGAUGCUCUCUAAUAAUGGUGAGGGAGUCCCUUUUAUAGAAUAAGGGCUCGCUCCUUAAUACAUAAAUGAUGGGUUAGAAGUGAUGCUCGCGGCGAGGCGGUUGCUCAGUUGGCGGCGAUGCUCUCUGAUGAAGGUGAUGGAGUCCAUUUAUAGAAUAAGGGCUCGCUCCUUAAUACAUAAGUGAGGGAGUCAUUUUUAUAGAAUAAGAGCUCGCUCCUCAAUACAUAAAUAAUGGGCUAAGUCCCCCAAGUAUUUUUCAUGAGGCCCAGUUGAGGCCCAAUAUAUGGUACAUAAUGUAGUCCCCCAAGUCUUCGGUCAAUAAAGUCUGUUGGCUAGAGACUUCAAAUUGAAUCCAUGUAUAGGCCGAAAUGGCGGUUGUUCGGAGGCAAUCUUUGUAGACCAUACACUGAAACUUUGUAGGUGAAGCUCUGUAAAUGAAGUUUUAGAAGCUGGAGCUUUUGUAAAUGAAGCUUUUGAAGCUAGAGCUCUGUAAAUGAAGCUUUUGAAGCUGAUUGACAUGAGUGAUGCUAAUGAAUGUUUUUGUUGAUUGACAUGAGUGAUGCUCAUGGAUGUUGACAUGAGUGAUGCUCAUGAAUGUUGACAUGAAUGAUGAUCAUGAAUGUUUACGUAUGAUUGACAUGAGUAAUGCUCAUGUAUAAUUUUGGAGUACUUGACGUACUUUUGAUCACCUGGUUAGUGAUAAUAGCGGCAGGGUGCCAAAUAAUUUUGGAGUACUGGGCGUACUUUUGAUCACCUGAUUGGUGGUAAUAGUGGCAGGCUGCCGAAUAAUUUUUUGUAGUACUAGACGUACUUUUGGUCACCUGGUUGGUGCUAAUAGCGGUAGGCUGCCGAAUAAUUUUGGAGUACUGGCCGUACUUUUGAUCACCUGGUUGGUGGUAAUAAUGGCAGACUGCCGAAUAAUAAUUUUUUGUAGUACUGGACAUACUUUUGGUCACUUAAUUGGUGCUAUUUUGAUUUUGGGCUUAUGGGCCUUCGCCCUCCACACAACAUUCCAGCCCAUUUAUUUUGGGCUUUGCCGUUUUUUUAUUACCUUCUGAUGGGGUUAUACAGAUGUCUCCAAAAGAUAAGAAAAAUAAAUUACAUCAUUCUGGUGGGGUGUUUAUUCCUUACUUUUGCAGUGUCCCCAUGUGCCUCCCCUUUGCUUUCUCUUUAUUUUUCUCUCUUUUGGCAGAUAACAGACAAGGGAAUAAUGCCAUUUCCUUUUUUUGCUUUUGCUUUUGCUUUGCAUCUUUGUUGCUUUUGUUUUUCUGCUUUUAUCAUUGCGUCUCUGAUUUCUUGAGUAUGGGGUCCUCCUUCUCGAGCACAUUCUUACCAUUUUCAUUGUCAGUGGUGUUAUCCUGCUCAUUCUGUUUUUCUUUUUCUUUUGGCAGAUGGCAGAUAAUUAUUUUAUGCCUGUCUUCCACUGUUGUCUUCCACUCUGGAGUUCACUCCAUCAGCUCCAAUCACCCAUUGAACAACUCCCCGCAUUCUGGACGUUGCUGACGUUGAAGCCCUUGGCGAGCACAAGCAGAACAAUACUUGCAAGCUUCGAAAUUGGCACACUUCCUACCCUCCGAAAAAGGAGAAAAAACCCGCGUUUCUUGGGCUCUUCCUCCACCAUGACAGCAUGCAUAUUGUCCUGCUCAACAAGCCUCCAGGCCGCCUGCUCGAAAGCCAGCCCUGCCAAUGUGGGCGGCCUGUUCAAAACCAGAUGGUACCUUCUGUUGGUGCUUAUGAUGACCUCCGUAUCCUCCGGAAUCAUCCCCAACAAUGCCAGUCCCAACAUCUCCUACACAUCCAGCAUCGACAUCAUGUCUUCCCCUUUGAUCAUGUCCGUUCAAACCCGGUUCACCAUCAUCUUAAUAUCCCUUAUUUUGUCACACUCCAGCAGCCCAAUGACCCUGUCAGCGUCUUUUAAGCUCGUAAUGUCCGGCGUGGUCACCAGAACGGCCUCAUUAGCCGGCGUAAUGGAGGUGAUGAACCCAGUGUCCAUGCCUGCCGGGCAAUCGAUGAGAAUAAAGUCCGGGAAGCCUUCUUGCCUGGCUUUCAAGGCGUCGAUGACCCAGACCAAGGCUUUGCCGUCGAAACCCUAUCAAUAAUUUGGACUGGGGCUUCGAGAUACAGAGCAAUUCAAAGUUGGACCAGCGCUUGUCCCUGACGAGGGCCUGGUCGAGGCGGCAGUCGCCGUUGAGGACCUCGACGAUGGUGUAGUUGACACGAUUCUCGGGGCCAAGGAGGAGGUCGAGGUUACGGAGGUUGAUGUCGACGUCGAUGACGAUAACAGAAAAGCCGAGGCGGACGAGGAAGAGGCCAACAUUGGCGAUGGUGGUGGUCUUGCUGACGCUGCCUUUUCUAGAGGUGAUGACGACGACGCGAUGGGGUGUCGCCGGACAACUAGGGCUUCUUGUUGUAUUGAAGGACUGCGCGGACUGUGAAGGGAGAAGAAAGAUUAGGUUUUGGGUUUAAAAGCGUUUAGUGGGUUUGCGGUAGUGAGGAAGAAGGAGGUGGAUGAAGAGGGCUUGGGGUGAAGGAUGGUGGGGAGGAGUUGAAGAGAGACAAAAAUUGAGUGAUGAGAGAGAAUGUGUGUGUCUGUGUCUCUGUGGGUUUUGCAGAAUCACGACGGAGGUGAAAAAAUGAAAGAGAACCGGCAUAACUUUUCGUAUCGUUUCUCACAGACGGCGCCAAAUGUUGAUGCACAAAACCGGAGGUCUUGGAACAACGUAAAUCCGACCGUGAAUCUGCAAGAAAUGUAAAGAACACAGGAUGUAUCGUGGUUCACCCCAAUGUUUGGGCUAUGUCCACACUGAUAUUGUAUUUCUCUGAAAGGAUUGUGAGGGAGAGAGAGAGAGCCUAUACGUGAGAGUGAGGCUCUAGGAUCCCAUGCCUAAGGAUUGGCCUCUCUCAAUGAGGAGAGUGAGAGGUCAUUUUAUAGAAUAAGGGCUCAUCACUUAUUACAUAUUUGCUCCUUCAUUUAUUACAUAAUUACAUUUGAGUCCCCCGAAUAUUUAUACGAGAUCUAAAUACGAAUGCCCUAAGUAUGGUACAAACAUAUGAAAUAUAAAAUAGAAAUUUUUACAAAAUUAUUUUUCGAAUUCGUAGUUUCGUAAAACCUCAAUCGUAACUCCAAUUUCGAUUCUGCUUGCGCCUACACGUUCAUAUCGUUGAGUACUUCGAGAAUACAAUAAAAUAACGGGUCAUACGUCCCUCUAAAUGAUGGUUAAUGGAAGGCGAGAUCCUUGCCUCUAGGGCAUUUUUGUCAUUUUACUAUUUUAAAAUUAAUAAAAUUGUAAAAUUAGGGAUGGGUAGUUACAAUUUAGUUGUUCAAAAUCCAUAUUUUUAUGUUCCCACGCAUCACCACACGUGUUGCCAUGCACGGUGCACAAUUAUUCGACUAACUCUAAAUUUUAUCAAAUUUUACAGGCAUGUAGAGCUGAACAAGAGCAAUAACUUUUAUACCUGCUGUGGAGCCAAAAAUAAUUUCAAAAUUCAUGAAGCUGACAAGUGAAAUAUUUUCCAAGAAAGACAAGAUUGCCCCUAUUAAAUGAGCAGGGAGCAACCUUAUUCACCACGCACAUCUGAGGUAGACCAAAGAUUAACAACUGCUCAAGGCACCCCUACCUGUAAGAAAAGUCAAAGGUAUUUAUGAUAAAAUAAUCCCUUAUUCUUAUCAUAAAUACAUUCCUAAUCAGAGAAAACCUCCUUCAAGUAAGUAAUCCUAAUCCUAUUUAUUUAAGAUAUUUACCUACUUAGUCCAAGUGACACACCCCGACCCGGAAUGUCCACUAGGACUCCGAAUCAAGCUGUGCUGGUCGACACCUGGAAUGUGACGAAGCCAUAAAGUGUGAUGGUGUGGAAAAUUGUGAAUAAAUUUAAACCUUAGAGUGCCUAAAUACCAGAGUGCACUGGUGACUAGAGAUGAACCCACUUCACACGUGAUGUUAGAGCAUAAGCAAGUACAGAAAAAUGAUAUAAGAAUCGUACCCUCAAAAUAGUCUUUGAUACUAAGAAUCGCCGUGAGUCUUUGGUGAUAAUAAAACUCAGCUAAUAAUACCUAGAGGGUGAAGACAAGACAAAGCUGAGUGGCCAUGUAAGUAAAUUACUAAUAAAAAACAUAUAACACAUGUAAUCCCUCGUUACAACACCUGUAUAAUUUCCAAAGAAAUCAUAAUGUACCACCACACAACAUCUCGACAAUAAUAUCAAAUAAUCAUACGAUUAAUAUCUCAUAAUAGUACGCAAGUCGAAGUCACCUCUAGUGACCUAUACGACAUAUUCAUAUCUCAUCACAUAUCUCAUCAAUCAUGGCUAGCAUAUAAGUCAGAGUCACCUCUAUUGACCUAUACGACAUAUUCAUAUCUCAUCACAUAUAUCAUCAAUCAUGGCUAGCAUAUAAGUCGGAGUCACUUCUAGUGACCUAUACGACAUAUUCAUAUCUCAUCACAUAUCUCUCAUCACAUAUCUCAUCAAUCAUGGCUAGCAUAUAAGUCGGAGUCACCUCUAUUGACCUAUACGACAUAUUCAUAUCUCAUCAAUCAUUGCUAUCAUAUAAGUCGGAGUCACCUCUAGUGUCGGAGUCACCCCUAGUGACCUAUACGACAUAUUCAUAUCUCAUCACAUAUCUCAUCAAUCAUGGCUAGCAUAUAAGUCGGAGUCACCUCUAGUGACCUAUACGACAUAUUCAUAUCUUAUCACAUAUCUCAUCAAACAUGGCUAGCAUAUAAGUUGGAGUCACUUCUAGUGACCUAUACGACAUAUUCAUAUCUCAUCGCAUAUCUCAUCAAUCAUGCUAAUACCGUAUACUUACUUGAAUUUACUUAAACUUACCUGAACUUACCUGAAUGUCCUACGUUCACCUUUGCACUUCGGAGCGUUCACAGCAACACAACCAAUUCAUAUACAAAUUAUAAACUUAUAUGCAUGGCAUUCAAGGCAUAAUCUCAUUUAAACAUAUUUCUGGGAAAAUAUCAAGUGUAUACAUAUAUACUUAAAACCAAAAGCCCAUACAUAUUGCUUAAUUCCUUAAACAAGGCUAUGGUCUCGGUUAUUUAAUCUCAUUUCUUAUAUGGCUGCAUCUAACGUCUCAUUAGACUGCCUACGUACCCUAAACAGGGAUCAAGCCAUUCGUAGUUCACAAUAAUCAUUUAUAGUAAUACGCAUAUGGAUAGAUCACGAUGAAAUCUAACUCAACCAUCUCAUAGUAUUUUAUAACAUAUAAAUAUAUAUAUAUGUCAUGGCAUAAGUUUCUCAGUUUUAUUUAAAAGCAUUUAUAGAAUUAUCAAUCAUUAAACAUAAGAUGAGCAAUGAAAGAUCCACUCACCUGGAGUCCGUGCUACAACUUCCUAGCACAACUAUCGGGGCGUCCCGAGCGAUCGGCGCCUGCGGCCAAUUAUCAACCACAUCUCAGAAUCCUCAUCAAUAGAAUACGUAAUUCACAUAAAACACAUCCUCAAGGACAUUCUAAAAUAGUUUGAGACCCAUUGACCAUAAGUCAAUCAUUGAUCAAAGAUCGACGGUGGGGUCUACAACCCUGUAUAACUCGAUCCGGAAGAUCUGUAUAUUAUAUUUUCAAUCCGCAACUUAAAGAUCCACUUUAUGCUUCUAGAAUAACAUACUAAAAUUUCAUUGCGAUCCAACGGUUGGAUCUCCGCCAAUUGCCCAAAACCAAGUGGCGGUUAACAUUUAUUUUAUAAACUUACACAUCUAAUUCGGGAAGAUCCGUAUGUCGGAUUCCUGAUCUGUAAGUUUCUGUGGUCCUCAAAUAUUACGUACUAUAAUGUAUUAAAGUUUGGUGAUGAUCCAACGGUCGGAUCGUCGAUUACUAUCUAAUCAAGUGGUGGACCUUAAUGGGACUUUGCUUGAUUCUGCAGUUUUUGCAGAUUUCCUGGGCGAUCUUUGGAACUCCAUAUAUCACUUGUUUCUCAACCAAAUUCAACCCAUAAUAUACCAAAUCAAAGCUAGAGAAAUGUAGAACAAGAUUUUACCAGCUUGGAGUCCAAUUGUGGCCGGAGGUGGCCGAAAAAUGGUUUGAAAAACGGCUGUCUGCGAGAAAACUGGUAACUCGAUGGAAUUUCUUAGCAACCUUUCAACGUCCAUAACUUUGUCAAUACUCAACGCAAAUAAGUGAUUCAGAAACGAAAAUCAUAGUUCUCAAUGGGACGAAGAAAUUGGUACCUUACACGAUGGCUAUCUAGCCGUGAUUUGGCUGGAAAGCGCCUCGAAAGUGGCGGAGGUCUCUGGAAACUGGGCAAACUUUAAAUCGUUAUAACUUUCUCAUUUCUCCACCAAAUCACGAUCCAAACAUGAAAAUUCAUCUACACAACAUGAGGAAUCGAUUUAUACCUGUGACCCAGGCCAAAUAGGCCGGGAAGAGCUUUAAUUUUGUUAAAACCCGUCGGUAAUGCUAUACUUGGGUGAACUUCGAUUCUUUUUCCUCGGUGCUCCAACGGGGUCAAGGCUGGUCGUGAUUUUCUCCUGGGAUCAUGGGCUACAAAGCCCAAGUAGUGGUGUCGGCCAUUGCUUUGCCAAUUCGCCGGAAAAAUGAAAAGGGUGGCCGGAACACCAUUGGUUUUCAUCGGUUUUUGUGGCCUCGAACCGCCACGUACAGGGGUUAACCAAGAUGGUUCUUGGGUGGGUUUUGUAAAGGGGAAUGAUAGCUUCAAGAUGGUGGUGGUGGCUUCGAAAAACUCCACCGGAGUUGAUUGGAAUCAGCCUUGGAAAAUGGGUGGCCGUGAGUGGAAAAACCCACGGGAAAGCUCCAGCUUUCCCCUUUUUUUCUUUUUUUGAUUGGCUGGAGGCUUUGUCCUUUUUUUAUGUGAUUGGUUCCCUUUUCUCUUUGCUUAAAGGUUGAUUGGUUAGUCUUCCCACAAGGUAGGAGUUCAAAUAAUUUAACUACCUUUAAAUAACCAACUUCAAACGUUCAUAACUAUACCGUUAUAAUUUGGACUCGCAAACGACUUUCGCCUAUGCGUUCGUAGUGACGAGUACUACGAGGAUAUGCUAAAAGAAUAAGUCAUACGUCACUCUAACCGAUGAUCCGCAAAAGUCAAAGUCCUUGCCUCUAGGGCAUUUUCGUAAAUUCACACUUCUAAAAUUAAUAAAAACGUAAAAUUUGGGACGGGCUGUCACACCAAGAUAAUUUCUUGGAAUAUUCUCACCCAAAUUCCACCCUAGGGUCGACCACCCCUAAACCCUAGAAGGGCGGCCCAUCUUAUCCUCUUCUCCUAUAAAUACUUCAUUUAUCUCCAAAAUUUAGUAAGCUUUAGCUACCCUUAAUGAGGCUUUUUGCUUCCGACAAACACUUAAACACAUGCUUUAUAGAAUUCUAACUUUGGCAUCGGAGAUUCUUCGGCUAACGCCCCCCAUUCAUUGUAGGCGUGUGAGGCUUUUGACCUUAAUCUUAGGUGUUAUUAUUUUGCAGGUGCAGGUUCGUCAAUCCAGGAAAGGCCGAAAUUUGCAUCCAUAAAUUGGUGCUUUCAUUGAAAGCUCUGAUAUGAAGACUCGAAGAAGACUCUCACUUUCAACUUCCUUCGUUUGUAGAUCCACGACUACGAUGGCAAGAAAUUCAGAAACUACAGCUAAUGAGACCUUCUACGUUGAAGGACAUGGACCAACCAAUGGAGAUCGCGACGUGGUUCCACGUCGUCGCUCCUCUAGGCUCACCAUGUCGUCGCUGCGGGUGACUGAAACUUAAUGGCGUCGAUCCGCCGCCUACUAUGGUACAACAACAUCAGGAAUGGUCGGGUUUUACUCCUAGGAUGAAGAGCUACAAAGCCUAAGUGGUGACAUUGGUCGCCACUUUGCGAAUUUACCAAAACAAUGGAAAAAUAGUUGUCAAACUCGUUGGAACGGUUUAGGAAACCUCAAACUUGGUGGUCUCGCACCACCACAUGUGGUAGUUUGUCAUUGUGGGUCUUGGAUAGGUUUUGUAUAGCGAAGUCAAAGCUUCACGAUAGGGGUUGUGGCUUCAAAAAAUCCUGUUAAAGUUGGCAGGGAUUCGCCUUGGAAGUUGUGGUGUUGAAACGGGUUGGUUAGGAGAAAUCAGAUCAGUGGAAUUCGUCUUAGGUUCUUUGCUAAAUUUCCAUUUCUGGAAACUUUCUAUUUUUGGGCAUAGUUUCAGAAAUCCAAAAAUGGAACUUACUAUUUAUAGUAAGUCUAAAUUACCAAACUACCCCUACUUUUGAGGCUCACAACUUAUUCUUUUCAACUUCGAUUCACAAAGGUUUUCGCCUAAAUACUCGUGGGAUCGAGCUCUAUCCAAUUCUAAACCCACCUUCAAAAGUAACAGUUAAAAUGACCAAAACGCCUUGAAAAUUGUUUUUUUCUCAAAAUGUAAAAUAAAUUUCAAUACAGGAUAUCACAAUGGCAAUGACGGUGCUAGUGAUGGCGGUAGUGGUGUAAUGUUUGUGGUUGCAAUCGUAGGUGGUGACGAAUAUCAAGGCAAUAGCGAUAAGACCGACAAUGAUGAUAGGGAUGGCAACAAUACUUGUAAGAGUAUAAUGAUGGUGCCAAUAGUGGGGUGUGAUGGUUUGGGUGUAGAGGUGACAAUGGUGGUAAAGGCCGUGGCAACAGUGGUGGCAGUUGUGCUUGUAGUGGUGGUGAUGGUGGUGGUGGUGACGAUUAUGGCGAUGGUAACGACAACGAUGGUGAUAGUAAUGGUAGUUAUGGUUGUGGUGGUAAUGAUGGUGUGGUGGCAGUUGCGAUGGCAGUAACGGUGGUGGUGGUGCCAGUCACUUUGUUCUUGAGGAGAGAAAAUGUAUGUAAAAGAAUAAUAAUGUCAUAUUAAAAAUUAAUGAGCGUAUUUUAAAAAACUGUUGUUUGGAGGCUAUUAUUUUGGUGAAAAAAGUAAUACCAAACGUGACCUUAGAUCUGAUUAAAUAAUCAAUUUUACUUAUGGAAAUGAUUAACUCAAUAUGAAAAUAGUUAAAUAACAGACCUUGACCGGAGUCGAGGCAUGCUGGCCGUUACCCGAAAGUGACAUAACCAAAAGUGUGAGUGAUGUAAAAAAAUGUGAAUGAAUUAAAACCAAAACUAGAACUAAUUUAAACUAAUAAACUAGAACCCAUAUAAUACAAAUAUUCAGAGCAUAGAUGAUAAAAGAGUGUGCAGUCGAAACUAGUUAAGUACUUAGUACACAACAAAAUAAGUUUCUACACUUAAACAGGGAUAUAUCAGAAUCGCCGGCUAAACCUCAUAAGCCAUAGAGUAAUUCUGAUAUCUAGGACCUGGAGGGGCGAAAAACAAAAGGAUGAGCUGGCACAAAAACAAAGGUUUAUAAAACACAUUUAUUUUUCAGAACAUACUGACCCGUCGCUGUAAAACAUGUAUAGUUUCCAUAAAAUCAUAUUACGUAUAAGUAUGAAAACAACUAUAAUUAAACAAUAAUGCUAGACAACGCCAAACUACAAUAUUUCAACAAUAGCAUAAUAAAAACAGGUUGCUCAUCAAUCUACGCUAGCAUACGAGUUCAUGCAGAUAGUUUCUAACAUGAACAAGACUGGGGUGUAAUAUAUAAGUACGCUCUAGUGUUACAAUCACGUGAAGACUAGUGAUAAUCACGAUCAGCUAUGAGUUGGAGUUGCCUAAUGCAACCUGUACGACAAGACUGACACCUACUUGGAUCCAAGGCGAGUGUGCGGUGCAGAGGUGAACAUACACGUGAAAGACUAGCCCUGGCCCCGGGCGAGCACUAACACCGGGGUGCAACAAUGAUGAGCAUACUACAUGCAUAAAUAUAAACAUGCCAUAACCACUCACUGAUACGUGGUCGGAUCUUAGCCUUCUAGCCUUGCUUGACCUUGUAAGUCCUCUGGAUAAUUUUCAUCUAUAUGUGAAAUAACGAAACUAAUAAAUUAAAUAGGACAUAUUAAAAAAGGCUAGGUAAAUCUCCCAUACUUUGCUCAAACGGAAGGUUUGAAUAUAUGAAAAUUAUCUACAUGAAGUCACAGAUUCAUAUGUGUCAAGCAUUCGCCGGCUAGAGGUUGGACGCGCCGUCUAGCCCACGACCACACGCGCCUGGUAGCAACUGACGAAACCAAGGAAUAUUUCGUUAAACAGUUAACGAAACUUAAUGGCUUUACCUGACACCGUUAGAAUAUUCCGUCAACUUUGACGAAAUAUUCUUCGUCUUUUCCGAUGAGCCUCGUCAUCUGCCGCCGUCUGGUUGGUCAAUUUUUGGAAAUUUUGCCGGUUUUUGGGAAAAUUUUCAAAAUCGCAUAUCUUCUUCCUUUCUCGACCAUUUUCGAUGAAAUUUAUAUGGAAGUGAAGUUGGAGAAGGGAAGAACAAGUUUGUAACUUUUGGAAGUCCAAAAAUGGAUGGGAAAUGGCUUGAAAAAGCCUUGAAAGGUUCGGAUCUAAACUCGUAGCCUCGAAACUGUGCUUGUAGACGUUGGUUCUUCUUCAAACUUGUACUAGGAGCCUCGGGAAGUUGAAAUGGUGCUUCCACAACCUUCAAAACAUCGUAACUCAGUCAGGAUCACGUCAGAGCAAACUUGUUCGAGUCGGAGCUUCCGAAUUGGUGAGUCCAAACUCGUCCACUUCGUGAUCGAUGAGUACGGCUGGGUUUGUGAGUUCGAGAAGAGUACAAUGAUGGGGUUUAUGAGCUAGAUCUGAGAAGUAUGUUGGUGUUGUAUGAGUUUGCAGAGGGAAGGAGCUCGGGCAAGGGAGAGAGAAGAGAGAGAUGAUGAGUGUGUUCUGAUUGGGGGAUAGAAGUGAAGAGAGCAUCUGAUUAGUUGAGAGGGUUUUAAGGGAAAAUGAGUGAAUGUGAGGGAUUUGAGGGCACACAAGACAAUUUUUAAAAGAAGAAAAUGAUAAGGUUUGGUACACUUUCCAGAUUAAGAAAUUUGUCCCCUUAUCAAAAAUAGUGUUUCUAGCAUUGAAAAAUUAACACGCACGCAUGUACAAUUCUACCUGUUGUUAAAGUACUUUAACUGAGCGUAACAUUUUUGUUACAGCUCUGAUUUGCGUCUAACUUGUGCUCACGAGUUCGUAACGAUGAGUAGUAUUUAAUUACGCUACUAGGAAAAAUAAAAUAAACGCUGAAUAAUACAUCCACGUCACUUUGUCCACAAUGGCAGAAAUAUCAAUUUACACACUUGGGGGAAAUUACAUAGAAAAUUAGGGAUAGGUUGUCACAUUAAAAAUAUGUAAUCUACAUAUGUUGACAUUUCUAAAUAUAUAGUUUUGUUACAUAAUUGUAUUAUACAUGCGCGUAUAAAACAUAUUAGUUUUUCAAUGCGUUAUUGGGAAUAAAAAUGUUAAUUUUUUUUUUUAACAAAUGAUAUUAUCUACAUUAAAAGGGUGGAGGAGUAGGUUAAGUCUCAUAAUGGGUUACCAAUAAUGUAGUUCAAAUUCAUCUUUGGUGAGAAUUAAACCUAAGACAUCUCACUUACAAGCGAAAAGGAAUACUACUAGACCGUAGUACUAAGAGCAUCUCUAAAGGAGAUGUUAAAAUAUCCACAUAAGCUAUAACAAUAAUAAAAGACCACACUAAUAUUCUCCAACUAAGAUGCUAAUUCCUACGUGGAGCUGACAUGGAUUGGCGGCAAAGAGGUUGUUGUCAAAUUUGACAAUAGCUUCAAAUAUUUUUAAUUAAUUAUUAAAUGUCUUUUAUUAAUUUUUUAUUGGUUUAAUAAUUAUUAUAAUUAAUGUUGAAUGUUGACAUGCAUUUGUUUAGGAAUGAGAAUCCUCCCGGAUCCUUCUAUUGGUGCCAAUUUAAUAAUUAAUUAAAUGUUAUUUAAUAAUUUUUUAUUGAUUUAACCAUUUAUGUUAUAAUGAAUAAAAUAAUAAUUUCAUCUGACAUAUCGGGUGUAGAAUAAAAUUUAAAAGAUGUCAAAAUACCAAAUAAGCCAUCAAAUUCAAAAUUUUCUCUUUUGAAGAUGGUCUAAAUAGCCACAUAAAUAUUUUAUUUACGUAUUAUUCUUAUCUUCUUUUUUAUUAAAUAUGAUAAAUAAAAAAAAAUACUUUAGUGUCAUUUCUUUUAUAGAUAAUAGAAAGAGCAAGAGUUAGAGGCAACCAAGCAGCUAUUAGGAUAAUAUGGUCCAAAACAUACAUUCCUUGAACACCAUGACCAGGGUCAUUAAUUACAUCAACGAGGAAGUUUCCAAGAAAUACCUAAAGAUUGCACCGAAAGUCUAAUGUCUUCGAUGAUGUGCUUGAGUCCCCAAUAAAUAUUACAAUUAUCACCAACAACAUCCAAAACAAGUUUAGAAUCCUCUUCCACUAUAAGUUUAUGAAUUACAAGUUUAUGAAUUACUCUAUAAAGAUCGUGUCUGCAAAAAAUCAAUUAAAAUUAGGAUCACUUAAUUAUCAAAUUAUAGAAGAACAGAUGGACGGAAAUGAUAAAAGCAUUACAAAUUGCCUAUCUAUUUGCAACAGUUGAUCAGCUUAACGACCUUAGUUUCAAUUCAUUUUUUACAUAGAUGAUCUUUAGAGAGUGAUUUAUGUUAUGAACGGUUUCAAUUAUAAGCACAAAGUUAUGUGAAUCAGACAUAGACAAUUUUGAGUAGGAGCUCCUACUCAUCUUUGAGUAGCCAAACACUGCUAAAAAGAAAUAACAUUGUGUUAUAAAAAGAGAAAUUAAAAUUGAUUGGUAGUUGUUUACCAAUUAAUUUGUGGUUAUUUUUUUUUAGUUUAUGUUAGAAGAAAUUGAUUGUUUUACUUUACUAGCCCUCACCACUCAAGUUAAACCAAAAAAUUUGUGGAAUUUUCUUAAUAAAAUUCUUAACAAUAGUGCAUAUGUGCACAAAAUUUUUUUUCGACAAGAUAUGCAUAAAUUGGUUUCAGAAAUAAUCAUAACUAUUUUAUUUUAUGGGAAAUAAACUUCAUUAAAGAACGAAACAUCUGUUACAACCGUUGUCAAUACAAUCAAAAUGAAAAGCCGAAAGAAUAGCGUUCGGUAAACAAUAAUCCCAAACAUGAGGAUUCGGCAAGGAAAGUCCAAUAUGAGCUAAAGAAUCCACCACAAAAUUAAGCUCCCUGAAGAUGUGCUACCAGUCAAUGUGUUGACAACUGUUGUUACUUGUAGAGGCUUGUCGAGGGUGGAUGGAUGAUAUUGUUGAGUAAUGUUGAAGACUACCAAGACUUUUCAACUAAACUAUUUCAUACAAGAGGAGAAAAAAGGAAGACAAAUAUGAUAAAAGAAAAUAGAAAAAGUAAGAAGAGGAGGUUGUAAUUUAGUUUGUCUUAACUAUUUAUAGAUGUCAAAUAUAAUAUAAACAAAUAUACGGAAAGUUUUUGAAGUUAUUAUAGUAAAAAACAACUAAUAACUCUAUGCUAAACUCCGCCACUAAAACUAAUACGCCAUGACAUCUCCCAAUGACCAUGCACAACUUCAAUAAUCAUAACUAACGAAUCCCAAAAAACUUGUGGUUAUUUGUUUUGAUAUUUAAAUUCUCCCUUUUUUUGGCGGGUAAAGAGAAAUGGAACAAAAAUCAAAUCCCGGAAAUGAGCCCAAGACAAAAUGGUAUUCAGAAAUAAUCAUAACUAAUAAAUAUUUGCAAAAAUACCCUUCAUUGUUAUCAUUUUUGCCAAUUCUCCCAAAGUCCUUCCCUCCUCCUGUCUCUGUGUCUCUCGAGUCUGUUCACUCUUCCGUUUCUCCUCUCAAGAAGAAACAUUUGCCAAAUCACUGUCUUUCACUGGCUGCCUGCAACUUGCUCAUAGUACGACGCGUAUCAUCAAUGGCUACUGACAUGGAAAAUUGAACCUUUGGGUAGGCGAACAAUUGGGCUGUGAAGCAGGGGUCGGGUGGUAUCAUUUGGCUUCCAGUUGACGAUCUGAUCGGCGACGGCAGCCGGUUCGUCUGUUCCGGUGACCUAGCUCGCGAACCCUUUCGUGCUUUCCCGAUCGCCUGUCGGGAGGUAAAUCUGACGAACCUUGCGACAUUUGAAUUAUGAGUUUCUGAAUUUUGGCUAAAUUGGAUUUUUGUUUUUGCUGUUGGAGAUUUUGAUUUUGGGUUGUUGAUUUGGUGAAAUUUAAGAUUUUUUUGAGGAAAAAGGGGAUCUGGGUACUUGAUUUCAGACUUUAAGUGAUCAAUGGCGGCUCUUGUGCGUCCCCCAGGGGCACCUAGGCCCAAUAACAGUAACACUAACACCCCACCAGCCUCUAAUUACAAUCCUAACAAUGCUCAGAGGAACCCUGAUUCGUUAGCGGAUAAUAUGCAGAAUUUGAAUCUUAAUAGGCAGCCUUCCAUGCCUAAUUCUGCCCCUAGACCAUCCCCUUUUGGCCAAGCACCAACUUUUCAUUCAUCAGCCCCUCCUGCUGGGGCUCCUGUUGCACCUCCCCCUUUUUCAUUGCCUGGUCGUCCCCCAGCUGCACUUGCAAGACCUACAGCACCCCAAUCAGGUCCCCCGCAACCUACAUUAUUCCCUGUCACCACCCCAGCAAGGCCAACUGGGCCGCCUGUUGGCCAGCCUUCGUCUUUUGUGUCUAGACUGCCUCCGGGAUCGUUUCCCCCUUUGGGCGGUGUAGCUCCAGCAUCUGGUCCUUUUCAGACGUCAGGUUUACCGAGUGGUCCAGUUUCAGUACCACCACCAGCAUCAGAUCCUCGCCCAGGUCCUGGUUCUUUUCCUUUGGGUAGCGGUCAGAGCAUGCUCCCUACGACUGCACCAGGUAGAUUGAUGAAUAAUGGGCCACCGGUGUUUGGUUCUGGAGCUAUGCUGAGCGGGCCCUGUUACCCUACCAGUGGAAAUGUACCUCAACCACCUUUUGGACAUCCACCAGCAGUGGCAACGGCAACAGGUCCUCCUCGAACACCAACCAUGCACUCUAUGCUGGGCAGUCCAGCAGUUACUGCUCCACCAGGUCCUGUUCAGCAGGCACCACCAUUUUCAGCAGCAGCACCACCAAUUUCAGUGGCACCACCUUUUUCAGUGGCACCACCAUUUUCUGCAGCACCUCCAAGCAUGCAGGCACCUCCGGGUUCUCCCAUGUGAGUGACUUGUACUAUUUUUGAAGUACAUGGAUAUACCAAAUUUCAUAUUAUUGAGUUAGCUGAAAUAAUCCAAAGUGGACAUAUGAUGUAAAAAGCUAAGGUGUAUAUCAAACGGAAAAACUACCCAGGUGUACUGGCAACUACUAUUACUUUUAUGAAGUGAUUGAAACUUGUUUCUACGCAAGCCAACAAAAUCUAAUAUUAACUGGAAAUAGAUAGAUCUUUUUCCUGCUUCAGUACACGUGUUUAUUAUAUCUUAGUAGCAGACCCAAAGAAAAGGAAGUGCACUUAGUGGUCGAUGUGUGUGAGUGUAGUUGCACAUACUAGCUUGCAGUGUGCACCGCUGUGUAUGCUUGUCAUCACAAUCCUCCGCUCUCUGUUUAAGUGAAGAACACUCUUUCUAGUGGAUGCUUUCAAGCUUUUUGUUUACAGCAUCUGUAAUACAAUAGUAUAAUCACAACCCUUUUGAGCCAAUUCUUAUAAGCAUCAGUAUUAGUUAUUUUCUAUAAUAUUUGUUCUCAAACAUGAUUUCACAUAUUUAAGCAUAAUAACUUGAGUUGCAACAGAUAGCCUUGAAUACUAUUUUUCUUCUUCUUCUUCUUUUUUUUUUCAUUUAAUUUAUUAGAUUUCAAUUUCUUUUCUUUCCACCUAUGCUUAUGCAAAAUGGUAGAUGAUAGUGUUCUGAUAGAGGGAAACAGAAUGAAGGCAUGAAUUCGUCUUUUGCUACUUAGAUUUGGUUUCUAAUAAAUACUGCUAAUAAAUACUGAAUUGAAUUAGGUGGCUCCACCUUCCCAAUUUCCUGGUUAUGGUCAAUCACCCAGAAUGUUUGGAAUGCCACCCACACCACUACCAAAUCAGUCCAUGGCUACUAUCUCACCUGCCGUUUGUCAAACUGGAUCUCCUUUGACUGGGUCAUCGAAGAUAGAUCCCAAUCAAAUUCCUCUGCCUGUACCAGGUUCGUCAGUGCUCAUUCAUGAAACUCGUCAGGGCAAUCAGGCAAAUCCACCUCCAGUAUUUAUUCAUCCAUAAAUUUCAAGAAAAAACAAUGAUUUCAAUGGUUGCUUUAGCUGUAUUCCUGAUACUUUUUGACUUCCCUACUCUCUCCUUUUUCUACACGCGUAAUUUUACUUCUAUUUUCAUUGUACAUAUUCAUGCUGCAAAGUGUAUUUAAGCAUGGUGAAAAACUAGAUAUUGUCUAUCAUUUACAUCCUUUUGAUUGCUUUUAUUAUUUUGAAGCCUGCUACAAGUGAUUACAUUGUCAGAGACAAUGGGAAUUGCAGUCCACGUUACAUGAGGUGCACCAUCAAUCAGGUUGGGGUCUAACUUUCAUGGAUUGCCUGUUUAUUAUUGUACAAAAACAACAACAACAAAGCCUUUUCCCACUAAGUGGGGUCAGCUAUAUGAAUCCUAGAACGCCAUUGCGCUCGGCUAUAUGGAUUGCCUGUUUAUUAUUGUAGUUAAACAUUUUUUUUAUCUCAAUUUCAGUUUUGGUUUGUUGUUUUCUUUUCUAAUAAGUAUAGUAAUGUUAUUAUGUUUUUGUCAAUUUACCAGAUACCAUGUACGGCUGAUCUUUUGACAACAUCAGGGAUGCUGUUAGCUUUGUUGGUUGAACCAUUUGCUCUUCCUCAUCCAGAUGAAGAACCAAUCCAAGUAACAUGUUUAUAACAUUACUGUUCCUUCCAGAUAUAUAUUUUGAGAGACUAUUUUAAUGAAAUUAGGCAACAAAACAACAAAGAGCAACAUAAGUGGUCAAGAAGGCCACUGGGAAGAGAGAAGAAAUAAAAAACCAAUAAAAGCCUAAUAAAAUCAUGUGACUCCCAAGCAGAACCUAAGCACCACAGCCUGGCAUUCUAACCCAAUACUUGAAAAGAAGUAUGUCUACACUCUGUAGAGACAGAAGUCCAGAGAGCAGCCAAAACUGAACUUCGUACUUUAACUGUCCUCAACAUCAGAUCGAACAUAAUCUUCAAAUACCUUUCAAUUUCUUUCCAACAAGACGACCCAGAGCAUAGCAAGAAUCAUAUAUCCCCACACAACUUUAGCCUUUUUGCCCUUGCGUAUAAAAGAGAAGCAGCCCCUUGGAAUUACCCAGCUAAUAUCAGCCUUCUUAAAGAGCUUCAACCCAAGGCCCAUCAUUACAGGGCCUUGGAGGAAGGUGUGAUCCACCAAUUCAUAAUCUUCCUUGCACAGAAUGCACUAAUGAGGGGAUAAACAGAUCCUCGGUCUCCCUUGAACCAUAUCACAAGUGUUCACCUUCCCCUGAGCCACCAGCCAGGACACCAACUUCACUCCAAAAAGUGAUUUCUUUCUACCUGGAAAAAAAAGAAGAAGCUAAUACACAACAAUUUCAGGAUGCUUCUCCAUGAAUAAUGAUACAAAAGACGUGGAACUGACCAAAUUCUGAAUAAUUGAACAAUCAACAUUUGCAUCGAACUACUAUGUUAGUACUGAAUUGUUUUGUUAUAGGUUGUGGAUUUUGGUGAAAGUGGUCCUGUUCGAUGCUCUUGUUGCAAAGGCUACAUUAAUCCUUUCAUGAAGUUUGUUGACCAGGGCUGGAAAUUCAUUUGUAACCUGUGUGGUGAGGAAGAUUUCUUUUUGUAUUGUGUUGUUUGUGUAAUAUUUCAGUUUAAGUAACAGGACAAAUUUGCGGUCCUGAAACUUCUUCAUGGCAGUGUCUAUGCUCUUUUUUUUGUGUUUGUUUGUAGGUUGUUUGUUUGUAGGUUUGCACUGUUUUAUUUGGCUUGUGAAAGUAAUUGAACUUUUAUCUGCAUCAUAAACGUGUUGGGUCAACAUUUCAGUUUCUCAAGCAAUCUUUUCAAAUAUUUUAGAAGGCCAUUAGUUAAAUGUAAAUCCUUCUCGAGAGUAUGUUGUUUACCAUUCUAGUUUUGCUCUUGGCAUCUGGAAGGUCUUUACUUUGGACUCUGGAUUAGGGUGUAGUAUGUACUGUUUCUAUUUAUGCAAAAGAGGUGACCCUACAACGUAUGCCCUUUCUUCUGCAGGAUUUACUGAUGAGACUCCCCGUGACUACCACUGCAAUCUUGGGCCAGAUGGUAGACUUAGAGAUGCUGAUGAAAGACCUGAGCUAUGUAGAGGAACAGUUGAAUUUGUUGCUUCAAAAGAAUACAUGGUUUGUUGAUUAUGCUAUGCAGUUAUAACUGAACUAAUUUUUUCAUAAUUCACUAGAUUUACUAUUCUUUUAUCUGUCAUCUCUUGAUCAUCUCAUUUUUUAUUAUUUGGCUUUUAUAAUUCAGGUGCGUGAUCCCAUGCCAGCUGUGUACUUCUUUCUCAUAGAUGUGUCCAUGAAUGCCAUUCAAACUGGUGCAACUGGUGCAGCUUGCAGUGCAAUCAGUCAAGUUAUUGCUGAUCUUCCUGUGAGUUAUUCUGUCUGUAUGCAUAAUGUUCCAAUUUUACUUUUGUUAUACAUAAUGUGAUUGUUAUACUGUCCACGAUGUUACAUUGUCCCGAUGGUUCUGUAUCUCUGCAUUUAUUGUUCAUAAGGCUUAGACAUAAAUAUAAUGAACUUCACUUGGAUUUACCUUUUUAUUCCCCCUCCUCUUUUAAUAGAGGUUUGUUAAUUUUAUGAGUUUGUUAUAGACAGACUACAUUUUAGAUUAGGGUCCAUGAUGCCAAGCCCAAGGCAGUUGGGAUUAAGGAUGACUUGAGUAGAUAAAACGUUGAUGAGUCUGACGGAAAACAUAAAUCCUUGCUAACUGUAGUGCUAUUUUCUUUGAGGCCCAUUCAAUCCCUUUUUAUUUGUUUGGUGGUAUAAAAGAUGAAAUCUAUAAGUGCAGCUUGGAGUUGGAAAUGUACUGCAUUGUCUCUAAUCUGUAUAGUUUGGUUAUAAUUUUUUUCCCUCGAAUAAUUGUCCCCCAAAAGCAAGCAGAUCAUUUAUCAAACACAUUUCAAACCAUCCCUGAUAAAGAGCGCAAGAAUUUAGUAUGGGCACUUGUAUCUCAUCUGUUUUUGUUGGAGACUCCAAAAAACUAUUAAGGUAAACUCCAAUAUCUACUUAUUUACUGCAUCAGCCAGUCAAUCAAAAUGCCAUUCAAGUAAACAUAGAAACAACAUGAUUCAAAACCAAUCUCAUUAGACUAGGGAAAAAGGCAAGAAUUAUAAUGGUGAUGUGAUGAAUAAUUAUUAGCUAGGAUUCAUUUGCUUCUUUUUUUUUUGGGUGGCCAAAAGAGUCAAGUUUCCUAUGUACUCAUUUGCAUUGCAUACACAUCUUCUGUCUUUAUAUUUCAUUUUUACGAUCUAAGACCUGUUUUAACAACAUAUAUGUCUCUAUCUAUGUAUCUGUAUGCGUGUGUGCAUGUAUGUGUAUGUUCUUUUUUUAUUUAUUUUUAUUUUUUUAUGAGAAUGUGUGUAAUACAUAUUUGCUUGGUUCAUUUUCCCAAAGCCUGUAGUCAAUAGUAAAUGAAACGACAACAGUUAGAGUUUAGCUGACUCACGUAUUGAUAUAUUUAUUAUUGCAGGAAGGUCCUCGGACAAUGGUGGGAAUUGCAACAUUUGAUGCAACAAUCCACUUUUACAAUUUGAAACGUGCACUGCAGCAGGUCAAAAUGAGUUCUCGUUUUCCCAAAAUAGAAAACUUCAUUAAUCAAGUUGAAGAGCAUAGUUGUCUUUGCGUUUCUAAAUAUUGUGUGAUUCAUUUUUUGUGAGUGAUAUAUAGAACCAGUAAUAUUUUAUGGCUUCUUCUGAUAAGCAAAUUUUUGUAGUAAUUUUUUCAUUUCUGACAAUCAAAUUUGCAGCUAAAAUUUCUUCUCUUCUUUCUCUGACCAUCUGAAUUUAAUUUUUCAGUGGUAUUCUUUCUGGUCUAUAAGUUUUGGCUUCUAUUCUUACCUAACAAUUAUUUUUUAUGCUUUCUCACUGAGAUUAAAUAUAUGUUUUCAGCCUUUGAUGCUUAUUGUUCCUGAUGUACAAGAUGUUUAUACUCCUCUGGAGACUGAUGUAAUUGUUCAGCUUUCAGAGGUCAGUAGCUGCUGUCUUCCCUUCAUGAAAUGCGUUCAAGUACUAGUAUUGAUUUAACAACAAUCAUUCACAAGUCAGUCUGUCAUCUUAUUUAUUAAAUUUCCACUUGCCUCUUAUUAAAUUCAGUUUUUUAUUUUGUUUUAUGGAUUUUUAGUGCCAUCAAAAUUUGGAACAAUUGUUGGAAAGUAUUCCCACCAUGUUUCAAAACAGUAAAACUGCUGAAUCAGCCCUUGGUGCGGCAAUCAAGGUAUGUCGUAUAGUACAACACUGUUGUAUGUACUGAACUACUUAUGGUGCUUGGGGUUUGCUAUUCCAUUUCAACAUACAGAACAUCGGGAGUGAAAAUGGAUAUGACAACAAAUUCAUGAAACACGCUUCAAGCAGAUGUGACAUAAUAUCGUUGAUAUUGUUGACGCUAUGAAGCUUCAUAACUCCUAUGUGUUGGCUGUGCUUGGGCAUGACACUUUUGUAUUUCUUUGAGGUUCUUUUGUCCAAAGCAGAGUAUAAUCAGAACGGCAAUAAGAUAACUGAUAUUUAAUUUUAGUUUAAUAGCUUAAGGAAAACAUAAACGUAAGUAUUAAAAUGAUGGGCUAGAAAAUGCGACGACUAAUCUAAAAUCAUUCUUUCACAUGCUAAGUGUAAGAAAUUUUUGGAAUAAUUAGUUAGAUACAAGAAAUUGAAAAUCCUACAGGUGUACAUAUUUGCAUAAACCUGAAAGCUGAUUGGAUCAGAGUUUUGUUCUUGCCAAGAUACUGAUCAGCUUUCUUAUUUUUCCUCCUUUUGUGGUGGACAUGCCUCAAUAUUUGAUAAUGCAUGACAAGAUUUGAGGAGAGAUGAAUGGAGCUGUUGUCAUGUGUGUAUCAUAUCUGGCUUGUUUGGCUGCCAACUGGCUUUUACUUCCUGUCUGAACACCUUUCUUAGGUUGAUUCAGUCAAAACCCGUUUUCGAGUCUUUGGACACUAGUUGUCAAACCAACACGUGGAGCUAACCCAUUAUUUGAGCUGUUAAACGAGCCCGUAGUGUUAAUCUGCCAUGCUGCAUUCCAUCUAGACAGUCAAAACUCUCAGCUUUUCUCUUCUAACUACCGCGUUAUGAUUAAAAUGCAUCAAACCUAUAUCUUCUGUGAUUUCUAACACAGUAUAAUAUUAUCUGUACGUUUAUAUUGUUAAUUGUAUAUAAUAGAAUUGGAUUAUAAUUUAAUCCAAUUCCCAAUAAUUUUCAAACUAAUUUCAUGAUUAUAAAAUAGAUGACCAAACAUCUAAAACUGCUUUGGUUGUUCAACCAUUCCAGUAAAUAAGUCCUAUCAUUGGCUUAUAUCCAGCCAGGUUUCCCAACAUUGUUUUGAUGUGCAGAAUGCAUUUAGAGUACUGGAGGGAAAUGAAGAGUACUGGAGGGGAACCCUUGCCUAGGCUGCUUUCUUGGCAAUGAAGAGUACUGGAGGGAAACUUUUGGUGUUUCAGUCAGGCAAGCUUGUAUCCACAAUAUAUCUACUUACGAUGCCCCUUUAUGUUUUCUCCCCCCUUUUAAACAAGUUUAUUUAUCCUUGCAAGCAUAGAAUGAAAAACAACAUGCUUGGGGUUGCAGUUCCUUCAUGGUUUAGAGACAAAAUAAAGAGCUGAAAAAACCUAGAAAACUUGUUUCAAAGUUGUUGAUGGUUGCAGUUGUCACGGAAGCUUUCCCUCUCUUUUGAAUUUGUGAAUUCGCACCAUAACUUGUAGUCAGUCAACUUGAAUUACAGCUAAAUGGUUUGGAGAUAUUUUCACUCGGAAUUAUUUGUCCCGUUACACCUGUAUACUUCUACAGACCAAUUAGAGAAUUUGCAUGCAUAUUCAAUACAUUCAGCCUUUGAAGCAUGGAUACGGAUACGGAUACUGUGAUACUAUGCAACACAACACGGCAAUACAUGAAAUCUCUAAAAAUUAGGAUACGACAAGUCAUGGAUACGACAAUAAAAAUAUAUAAUUUAAAAUAUAUUUUAACAUGAAAACAUCCAAAUUCAAGUUCAUUCAAGUGUGAGAGUUAUAUUACUUUUUUUUUUCAAUUAGAGGGCAAGCUCUUUGUAGUCAUCAAAUUUCAACUAAAUCUUUGUUCCUAUUAAUUGUCUCCUCUGAAUUUCUCAUUUGAAAGUGUAACGGUAUCUUAAAAGCUGAAUACUUGUAUUUGGGCGUAUCCAACAAGUAUCAUGAAGUAUUGGAUAUGGGAUAUGCGACCAAACUAAAGUAUCUGUGCUUCAUAGCAUUCAGCAUUGUCGUUCUCUUUUACCGAAUUUAUUGGCAUCUCGGAGAAUACUAAUGAUUUAUGCUUCUGCAGUGCUGGCAUCAACUGGAAUUGGAGCCCUCUCUGCUAGAGAGGCCGAAGGAAGAGCUAAUAUAUCUUCAGCUGAGAAGGUAAUAGCUUUUAUAUGUGUUCUUGUAUGCCAUCUUGCGCUUUAUAGCGGUCGUCCUGUAACCCAGUUACUAUUAAGCAAACAGCUAUUACAUUCUUGCUUGAGGCCACAAACAUGAAUUUAUAUAGGAUUGAAAUUGAACUAGUGGUUAUGAAAACCCCAAUAGCCAAACAGCCCAUUACAUUCUUGCUUUAUUGGUUAAUGUUGGACACAUAAAACCAAAAUUCUUGCUCCAUUAUCUCCCAUUUGGAAAAUAUAUGUUAAAAUAAUUAAAUGGAAAAUUUAAUUAUUAAUGCUGCAUCACAAAGGACGAGAAGAAUAAUAAACAACUUAUUUUUUUUGUAAUUUAUGUCGACAUUAAAAUCAGGAAGCCCUCAUGCAUAACUUUUGCCUUAGGACUCGCUUUCUCUGGACCCUGUUCCUACUUAUAAGAUCUUGCUUUUCAAUUACAUAUGUUCAGUUAAGAUGAAUUACAUGCAUUGCGAAAGAGCUUUUCUUGAAUUCCUGAACCCACUUGAAGAUUUGGCGAAUUAGGUGGCCAUUUAGAUGGACUUGUUGGGAUGAUUAUUGGAGAAUAGAUUGACAUAUUGGGUCUUUGUAUCCUGUGAAUCGUAUCAUCCAACAUUGGAGAGUCCAUUUGCUGCAUUUGCAUGUGCUGUGACCAUAACCAUCAUCCCUUUUACACCUGUUGAGCAUUCUGUUCAAUUUGUUGUCUGGUAGUCUUGGCAUUAUGUUUUCUUUGUUUAACUGCAUUUCAGGAGGCCCAUAAAUUACUCCAACCAGCAGACAAAACAUUAAAGACAAUGGCAAUUGAAUUAGCUGAAUUUCAGGUAAACCUUUGACUAAUUUCUUUCCCCUAGAUGAUCAGUUAACAGGUUGAUGCAAUUUCUAUACUGAGUGAGAUUUUUAGUGGUAAUUGACAAAUUCUUAAGCAUAAUUUAUUUGGACUUUUCUCUUUUUUUCAUGGAAUGUUCCAGGUGUGUGUCAACUUAUUUAUCACUACCCAGUCAUACAUAGACAUUGCUUCUAUCUCCGUCAUCCCAAGAACAACUGGAGGGCAGGUACUAAUGAAUUUGCUUCUAUCCCCAUCCAUACAUCUGGCAUCAAAUUUCUACCUGUUAUGAUUGUGUCGAGUGUUUUCUCUAAUUGACUUUUUUAGUUUAUUUAUAUUUUUGUUUUGUUCUGUUCAAUAAAUAUGCGAAAUCAGAUUUGAGAGGCAUCUGCCACUUGUAACUAUAAAUCAUUUACACAUACAGAAGUGUAAUUGUGUGAGUUACCUUCUUGUAUUAAUAUUCAGCGUUUUGUAUUUCCUCAAUCUUCCAGGUUUACUAUUAUUACCCCUUCUCAGCUGUCUCUGAUCCUGCAAAGCUCUACAAUGAUCUUAGAUGGAAUGUCACAAGACCUCAAGGUCUUGAGGGGGUGAUGCGUGUAAGAUGUAGCCAGGCAAGUGUUUGAACCUCUUUCUCCACUUAACUAUGAUACAAUUCUGCAUCGUUUUUAAUUUUAUAUUUUUUUUAUAAAUAUAUUAAGUAUUCUAGUAAGAUAAGUUUGUUUUCAUCAUUUGCAGGGUAUUCAAGUUCAAGAGUACCAUGGGAGCUUUUGCAAACGUAUCCCUACAGAUGUUGACGUACUUGGGGUUCGUACAUAUAAUAUCCCUGAUUACCACUACUCCAGACUAUGUUUCUUAGUUAUCAUUCAUUUGUCCAUGGAAGUAAAUUCCCCCAACCAGCCGGUCCCCCAACCACACCCCCCCCUCCCGGGACACAGUGACAGUAAAUCAAGCAGUUUGAAAAUAAAUUAGCUCUUGCUGCCCCCUUUAUCUAGUUUUUCUGUUUUGUCGUUUUCAUUAUCCUUAUUCUCUCUCUCUCUCUCUCUCCUUUUGUCGUUUUGCCUUGGAGAGAGUGCUAUUGGCCCUUCUACUGGUCAUAACCAGUUGCUUCUAUCAUGCAGAUUGACUGCGAUAAAACUGUUAUGGUGACCUUAAAACAUGAUGAUAAAUUACAGGAUGGUUCAGAAUGUGGUUUCCUGGUAAAUUUUAAUUUCUCUGUUUUCUGCCAAGGUUUCUAAUGCAGUAAUUCUGAUAUAAUAUCUUCUGAGCUUUUUCUUGUAUGUUUCACUACUAAUUUUAUGAAAUCACCCAUCUCUGCAACUAACUGUUUCAAUGUUUGGUCAUAUUUAUAUAUUUCAUUAUUAAUGUGUUUUGAUAUUUUUCAUUAUCCAGUGUGCCCUUUUAUACACAACUGUGUAUGGUCAACGGAGAAUUCAAGUUACAACUUUGUCUCUGCCAUGCACGAGUAUGCUAAGUAAUCUGUUUCAUGCUGCUGAUUUGGACACUCAGUUUGCGUGUUUCAUGAAGCAAGGUAAUGCUAUUAUAUGCUGUUCUUCUUUGUUGCUUUCUAUUUGCUAUCCUCAUUUUCCCAUUAUGUAAUGCUUGUCCUCAGUUAAACCUGGUGCUUAAAUCUGUGAAUGAAUUUAUGAAAUCACUCUUUAAAAUCUCUUUCAUCAUUCACCUCUGAUGGAUUGAAAUGAUGAUGUAAAUUCUCUUUCUAUGUGUUCCUUUUCAAUCACUUGCUGCAUCUUGCCAAUUUUUUAUUCUUAGGAUAGAGUGAGAUAAGGCUUUGCUAUUGUUGUAGGAUAGCAGUUUGUUGUGACAUUCUGUCUAAUUUCCUUUGGACGAAAUCUGACUGUAAGUCCUUAAAUAGUGUAUAGCGGCAAACGAAAUUCCUUCAAGUGCUCUCUUGCGUGUACGGGACCAAGUGACAAAUCUGUGCAUCAGUAGUCUGCUUUCAUAUUGUAAAUUUUGUGCUACUGUAUCAUCUUCUGGACAGCUUAUUCUUCCGGAGGCACUGAAGCUCCUGCCUCUAUACACCCUUGGUAUAUUAUUAUCUACUUUAUACAUUCAUACUAGUUUAUGGUUUUUUUUUUUUUUUUUUUUUUUUUUUUUUUUUUUUUUUCUUUUCUUUUUUGUGUGUGUGUGUGUGUGUGUGUGUGUGGUUGGUGCUGUUUCCUGUUCUAAUGUUUUUAUUUCUGUUUUCAUGAGAAACAUAAUUGUAUGAAAAACAAUCAUAGAGCAUAGUACAAAAACUUAGUGAAAAAGAGGUCGACAACAAUUUGAUACAACUCUCAACAGAAACAAAACCAUAUUACACCUCUAAUGUUGCAAGUCAAAACUCUAAAAAGCACCCUACGGCAGCGCCCCAGUCUAAUGUCUCUAAUUAAUUUCCAGAAAUGAAAAUCCCUAAGGCUGGAGACACAGAAGCCCAUAAUGAUGCCAGAACCUUUCUUUCUUCCAAGAGCUCAUUCCUAUGACCAUGAGAUAUGAUCCAAGCCGAAAGACAAACCUUAGCAGGAACACUAGACUUCUCCAUAACAUUUUUCUGGCUGCAACACAGAAAGGGACUGCUUAUCACCCUGAAAACAAUUUCUGUUCUGUUUGGUAGAAUGUUAAAGAAAAACAUGCCUCUUCCAUUGCGGAAACAUAUUGCACAGAAUUAUCAUUCAGCUUCUUAGAAGAGUUUGUAUGUAUAUUGAUAUAUUUGUGCUUGUUUUCCAUUUUCAGCAUUAAUCAAAAGUAUGGGGCUACGAAGUGAUGGAAAAAUAGAUGAGCGGUCCUUCUGGAUCAAUCAUGUAUCUUCCCUUUCUGUUCCUUUGGCAGUUCCAAUGGUGUACCCCUGAAUGGUGGCUAUUCAUGAUCUCGAUUCCAAAAAGGUGUGUCAUUUAGCUUCUUGUUCAACUCUUUGAGAUAUGCAUUUUAUAUCACCGGUGUCAUCUGUUAAUUGACAGGAGGGUGAUGAAUCUCUAAUUCCUCCGGUGAUUCCACUAUCUAGCGAACACGUGAGUGACAAGGGAAUUUAUCUUCUAGAGAAUGGUGAGGACUGUUUAAUAUAUAUUGGAAACUUGGUGGAUCCUGGAAUUUUGCAGCAACUGUUUGGAAUCACCUCUGCUGAUGGACUUCCUACUCAGGUAGCCUUAUCGUUUAUAUCUUUGGUUACUCAUCUUCUGCCUGACAUAAUUGUAAACUACAAUUAGCCUCAAGCCUCAGGCAUAGGCAUUGAGUAUCUGAACUUGAUUUCUCGGGACCUGCUUCAGUUCACUAGAAUGAGGGGGCUGGGUGCUUAAUUGAUUUUUUUUUUUUUAAACGAGGCUUAAUUCAUUAUUUAUCAAUUUUUCUUGUUUUCAUAUUUUUAUAUAAUAUUAUAUGAUUGUCAAGAUUUUGAUAAAUGAGGGUGCAUGAGUUGAAUUCAUCUCUUGAAUCCUUUCUCGCUUUGCAAGUUAUCAUUGUUUAACUUGUAAGUUCUUUUGCCCAGUUUGUGCUGCAGCAGUAUGAUAAUCCGUUAUUGAAGAAGCUGAAUGGUGUGGUAAAUGAAAUACGGCACCAAAGAUGUUCCUACCUUCGGUAUGAUAUUAUUUUUCAUUGGUGAUUCCUUACUUGUUAGGAAGAAAUGAAUUGCAGCAAUGAUUUCUAAAUUUAUCUUAUUUUUGUGCAGCUUAAAGUUGUGCAAGAAAGGAGAUCCGUCAGGUGAGAACCGGGCCGAAUAUCUGAUCCAAGGACUAAGAUACUAUUGCUUAAUUUUAACUAUUAAUCAUAGUUUUAUCACUAUAGAGGCAUUAAAAUAAAGAAAGAUUAUCAAUUGGUUUUUAUCAAGUACUGUGUUGACUUUCCUUGCAGGAGCAUUGUUUUUCUCAUGCAUGGUCGAAGACCAGAGUCCGAAUGGCCCCUCCUAUGUUGAGUUUCUGGUACAUGUCCAUCGGCAAAUACAGAUGAAAAUGGCGUCAUAACUGCUCGUUCUUCUUCAGUUUGAAUUGAAAGUUUUUGCUAGAGCUCACAGGAAUUCAACGAAAAGCAGAAAAAAUAGACGCCUUCCAUCCAUAUACACUCUGGGAUCAUCCCGCAGGCUAUUUAUAUGUGAAGAGCAGUCGAGCUGAGUUUGGCUAAGAUAGGUUUGUUAAAAUUACAGUUGACACCCUUAGUAGACGCUACCGCUAGUAAAUACAAAGCUUAUUACUGUUUUUAAGUUGCCCCGACCCGAUUCUUUUCUGUGAACUCCCUUUCCGUUUUGGUUUACUGUGAGAACCAGAAAUGGAAAAACAAAAAGAAUGUAAGAAAUGUUGGUACUUGGGAUAAACCUUGUAAAUUAUGGUUGGUGAAAGAGAAAUGUAUAAACAGGUUUGUUAUACAAAAUGUUUUGGCUUCUGCUUUUGUGAUUGAACCGGUUAACUCCAAUUAUAAAAUAAAAUUAGCAUUUAGUAUUUGUAAAAUAAAUACAGAGAAAUAGAGGAAUAAAAGGUUCUUUGAGAAGGAUGUGCAAACUUUUGAGAAAAAGAAUGAUGUGCAAGAUGAAUCGUCUAAUAAAACUUGGAUGUCUUACACUGGACCCUCCAAGAUUAGAAUCCUGGAUUUGCCACCUGGUCUAGUCAAAGAAAAGUUUGGGAAGGAGUGUUGCUACGUCAUCUAUAAGGCACCACUCGAAAAAAUGUUCGACUUCCCGUAUUCGAUCGUGUUUGACCCUAUGUGUGUCUCAUUUAGUGUUAGAGAUUCCCUGGUUGAAGUUUUUUUUUUCCCAGUCAAAAUCAUCUUCUUCAUUGAUCACCUUGAUUGAUUACAUGAUGUCCUACUGGGCGUGUCAAAAUAUUACGGCCAAAGUCAUACUUAGCCUGCGGCGUUAAAUAUAGGUUGUAAGCUAUGUCCUUCCAAUCUUGAAAUUGCGGGUGUUCCAAUACACAUGAGAAAUGCCAAAAGAUAUAGUUUGAUGUGGUGUGUGUUGAGCUAUCUAGACUUUGACUUAGAUUACAACCAAGGAAAGAACAUCUCUCGGCCUUGGAUUCUUCGGCUCGAAGACAAGGUUUGCGUUAAUCAAUACAAUAGUCAAGAUCUUGGGUACUAGCUAGGCUUUGUCCCGAUCAUGAUAUUCCUCAACUUGAAGGUUGGUGGAUUGAUAUCGUGCUGAACUGUUAUAUCCUAGAGAAACUGGGCAUUAACUCAACGAGAACACCGUGCUCGCCUUAGAUAGCACGCAAAAUUACCUGAUCCGCAGAGAAUACUGCAGCUUAAAACUGCUUUGGUUCCCUAGUGUGACCAUUUGAAUGACGUGGUCUAUGCCCUUAACUUUCAACAAAAGGCUGGUUUAAUUCAAACCCAUUAAUGGGAGGGGGGGGGGGGAAUGUAACAAAUUCAUAUUAGCAUAGAUAUUUGAUUGGAGUACUGAUGCAAAAGAAAAUAGCUAGAAAUAGGAUCAUCAUCAACUUAAAGAUUUGAUAAGAUUAGGUGAGAUUACUUUGCUAAUUAAAUUUUGGAUGAUAUAUGAUUAGUUUUAUACUUCUUUUUCAUAACUUUGUUGAUCAUGGACCAGUAGUAUACAUUUAUUCAGGCCACAUAACUUUCAACAAACACUAGCAGAUUCUCAAUACGUUAGAGCAGCACGCCAUGGUGGCUCCUCCUCCACCCAAGGGACACAAUUAACAGAUUGCAAAGCAAAUUUGGCCACCAGUUCUGUUAAUGUAAGGAAUUGCUUUUGUAUAUAUUUUAAUGAGAAUCGAAGAAGAUGAAGGAAGAGAAAAAAUGAGAAAGCACAAAACGUGUAAAUGCUUCCCUUCUCUCUGCUUAAUUGCUUCUAUAGAUAUAUAUAUUUGUCUAAAAUGUUAGUGAAUGAGCACAAAGCACUCUUCACCUCAAAUUCCGUUAACAACCAAAGCCUUUCAUUUCCUAUACUCUAGGAUUGUCCAUUUGGUAUUCACAACCUUUACCUAUAAGCCUAACACACAUUUACUCAAGUGAAUACACAUUUAAUUAAUAAGGCUUAAUUAGAACUAAUUCAAAAUUAGCUCACAGCUUAUAAUUCAACAAGUUCAUGGGCAACUACAUUUGCUGCCCGACAUUGCCGCCAAGUACAAAAAACUUUUUGAAAAUUGUCACAGGAACUUCCAGACUCAAAGCACUCCUCGUCUCGAUUAAUGCUGUCCACCAAAGUUUUCCCAUCCAUCUCCGAAUCACUUGUUGAAAGCACAAGUCACUGACAAAUUGUAGACCAAUCUUGGCAGCCCAGACUUGGGUAACGCGAGCAGAAAUAAAAUCUGAAGCAUGCGCAACACACCCUGCCACGAAAGAUCUACAUUUUCCUAAAUAUAUGUGAAAGCAUUAUCAGUGUUUUCUAGGAUUUAUCAAAAUUUUAAUUGGUUGAGAAUUUUUUUUAUAAUUAGAUUGGUUAAUUGGUUGAGGAUUUAUCAGUGUUUUCUAGGAUUUAUCAGAAUAACCUUUGUUCAAAUUAAACAAGCAUUAAAAAGAAGAAAGGCAGAUGAACUGGAAAAUUAACAGAAAAUUCGAUUUAUUUGAUAGCGUAACCCUAGACAACCCAAACCAGCAAAUUCUGGAAAAUUAACAGAAAAUUCGGAUUAUUUGAUAAGGUAUAUAUGGGGCGCCCGCGCCC
RNAcentral lists this long non-coding RNA (61400 nucleotides) under Malus domestica (apple). RNAcentral's name for it is "long non-coding RNA (MDOM_LNC015000)". The record is from RNAcentral. Lineage: Eukaryota; Viridiplantae; Streptophyta; Magnoliopsida; Rosales; Rosaceae.